RNAcentral lists this long non-coding RNA (74526 nucleotides) under Coffea arabica (coffee). RNAcentral's name for it is "long non-coding RNA (CARA_LNC006920)". The record is from RNAcentral. Lineage: Eukaryota; Viridiplantae; Streptophyta; Magnoliopsida; Gentianales; Rubiaceae.
UUUUUUUUUUUUUUUUUUGUGAAAGCGAAAUAAUGCUAGGGUAGAAAGUGCAAAUCGCACCAUACUUUAACUGGGGCUUAACGCAUUUAACGCAUUUAACUUUAAAUGCACUAAUAAACCGUUGGGUGCAGAAAAAUGGGUCCAAUAACCUUAUCUGCUAAUGGCAUAAAAAUGCCACAUUCUCCUCGCUUUAAUGUUUAAAAUGCAACGUUCAGCAACUAUUUUGGCUGGUACAAGGGAUAACUUUAACACUCAUCGAAAUUUUCCAAAAGAUUCUUUUCAAAUGUUAAUAGUUUAUAUCACAUCUGAGGUAAAAAAUGAGGACCAAGUGUCACUCCCCAAAUACGGGACCUUCCACCGGAUUUGCAAUGUGACAUGCCAUACCCAUAUGACUUUACACCCACAAAUAUAAAGUAUCACGAUCAUAGUUUAUAAAAAAAGAAUUCACUAAAAUUUAAAAUUUACAAAUACUAAACGAAUACUUACUAUAUUUGAAUCCAUACAUUUGCUAAACAUCUUACACCAUAUUUCCAGAGUGAAAACGUCUAUUUUUCUAUCUCUCUCUUAUCUUCUAAGCGGGCACGGUUUUGCUUUCUUGAUCUGCAAGAAAAUAAAGAAAUGUGGACUGAGCAACGAAUACCCAGUAGAUAAUACUUACUCCUCUGUCGGAUCAUGUAAUUAUAUACAUAUUGUAUACAUUUGCAAAUUCGAUCAUGUAAUACCACAUGCAUACAAUAAAUAAAACCUUUGAUAUUUUUUCUAUAUGUUAGAUAUACAUAUUUCAUUAAGAGUGAAUGACAUAUAUAUAAAUGGCCUCCGUCCAAUGUGGCAUUUAGUUCUGCAGGUUCUAGAAGUGACCCCCGCCGAACAUGGCAUGGAAACAUAUAACAUGACAUGAUUACAUUCAUAGAAAUUUCUUGUAAAUUAUAAAACAUAUCAAUCAUACCAUCUCAUUUCAUAGAAUACAUCUCAUAAUACGUACCAUAGCAAAACCUUUCAAAUAGGCAUACAAUGAUCCAAUUUGCAUAUAACAAAAUAGACUUGCAUUUAAAAUAAAUUCAUAUUUGACAUUUUGAAAACACAGAGGGGUAAGUACCACCUACCUCAACUUACUCGCUUGAAGAUAUCAUAGUGUGCCUCAAUUUUGUUUCAAAUCUAUUGUCAAUAACAUGUAUACUGUAAUUAGCUCAUCUAUACUAUUCUUAAAUUACCUAUUUUUGUCCUCAGUUAGCCCUAUAUUAUAUGUCUGGACUUUUUAUGAAAGUAUUUAAUAAUUUCCAAAAAUAAAAGUUCCUCCUCUUUAGAAAGUUUCCUAAUUUGGAGAGUUUCCAUUUUUUUUGGAAGGUUUCCCCAUUUUAGAAAGUAUCUUAAUUCAGUUAUCUAUACAAAUUCAUUCAUUCAUUUGUUUGUUUAUUUUUGUAGAAAAUGGCCCACAUUAACUUGGAUUUAUUUGUCGGGUUCUAGAAUUUAUUAGAUAUAUUAUUUAGUUAACAUAAUGAAAUUGGGCUUUAUAAAAGUUAUCUUAAGUUAGACCAAUUAAAAUAUAAGCCUUGUAAUAAAGCUUGAAUUUUUUUCUAACUAAAAGUUGUAUUGGGCCUUAUGAUUAAUAAUUAUAUAUUAAGUCCACAGUAGAAUAUUUAAACUAUAGCUAUUAGGCUUAGUAAAAUAAGCAUAUUCAUUUAUUUGGAAACUUAGUAGGCCCAAAAUUUAUUUUUAGCGCAAGUUAUCAUUAUUUUUAUUAUAUUGAGUUCUAAGAAUAACAAAAGUUGGUCCACUAGUAAUUUGGCCUGAAUGGCCUCUGUUAUUUAAUUCCAACCACGACUAUCAUAUAGGAGAGCACUAGCUCACAUGUAUUCGGCUAAAGACAUUAGGUCAUUGUUAAACCUGGCUCGAAACUUAAUCUGAAAAGGUGAUCAGGUCACCGGUUCAACUGUAAGUUGGGCGAUUUAACCAUGGAUUGCACAAUAGUUAUGUUAUAUAAUAUAAUAAUAUAUUUUAAAUUAUAAAAAUAGUAAAAUAGUAAAUUUUUUUAAUUUGUGGUUCAACUGUCGAUUUUUUUCUGUUCACCGGUUGAAUCAUCGAAUCGUUAACUGGUCAACGAAUUUGUUGCUUAACUGGCCGGUUUAAUUUACAACCCAGUCCAGUCCUAUUGCCUGUUCAUCGAGUUGACCGGUUCGACCGCUAAACCAGACCAGGUUUUAUAACCACGCAUUAGGUAGACAACUAAAAAAAAUAAAAGGUUUUCUCUUUUUUUUGGGACCUUAGCAGAAUUAUCUUCAAUCAAGGGCCAAUACUAAAUUUUCAGAAAAAAAAAAAAAAAAAAAGUUUCAAAGCCAUCAUCUUCAAUUGCCUCGACCUGCGUUUUUCCCUCUGCUCCUAACAUCACCGACAACUCUUCAUCAUUUAUUUUGUUCUCAACUGGGACUUAAUUCCGGUGCAUGUUAGGCAUUCAAAUUUCAUGUCUUCCAAUUAAGUAGUACAAGGUAAAACUCCAAUAACCGAACUCAUCAGAACUCCGACGAACCUGAAUUUGAGAGCCUUAAUGGCAAAAGAAAUCUAGAUACAAACUCUGAGGAAAGUUGUAUACAUUUAUCUAGUCUUAAGUAAAUUGUAAAAUAAAAAUAGUCAUAAAAUUAUAGGCUUUCUAUCUUACUUGUACCGGUGGAGACGACGAUGACUUGAAGUCUUUCGCUAUAAAUUUCUUCCAUUGUCAAUUCCUCUUCUUAAUUGCACAUCCUUUUCCUCUCUAGACUUUCUCAAGUUUUGUUCCUCAUAUAUUCUCUCUCCUCCCCUCUAUUUAUUUGAUGUUUGACAGAUAUAGAACUCUAGAUUAGUCCGUUAAGUAGUACAGCGUUAUUAAUGCUGGUGAGUGAAUUACCGGUGGAGACGACGAUGACUUGAAGUCUUUCGCUAUAAAUUUCUUCCAUAGUCAAUUCCUCUUCUUAACAGCACAUCCGUUUCCUCUCUAGACUUUCUCAAGUUUUGUUUCUCAUAUAUUCUCUCUCCUCCCCUCUAUUUAUUUGAUGUUUGACAGAUAUGGAACUCUAGAUUAGUCCGUUAAGUAGUACAGCGUUAUUAAUGCUGGUGAGUGAGUUAGUCUUUAUAAUCUAUAUCUAUAUCUAUAUCUAUAUGUAUUGCAGAAGGGAUUUUUAGCAGAGACCCUCUCAAUGGCUUCUAAACUUCUCAUUCUUUUUUCUAAAUUUUUGUAUUUAUUUUAAUACAUAAAAAGUAGUGGGUUAUAACCAACUCUAUUACCAAUCAAAUUUAAAAUUUAAAACAUUCCCACUAUCUACUUCAUAAACCGUUUAUAAUUUGUUAUUUAUACUUUAAAUCAUUUUUACUCCUUAAUUAAAGACAAAUGCUCAUUCGUAUGCUAUUUUAAUACAAUGUUAUAUUUUUAUAAUUAAGAAAUAUUUGUCACCACACUAACCCUAUAACCACCCCUACAAAUGAGCUUUGCAAAUUACAAUUACGUUUCAAAAAAAUCACAAAUGUGCAACUAAAUGUAAAUUUGAGGGGGUAAAGUGCAGCUAAAUGUAAAGUUAAGGGGUUUACUAUAUUUAACCCUAAAAAAAAUCUCAAGAACGGAACAAGUAGUGAGUUAUAGAUUUUUGUCUAGAUUUUUGUAUUUAUUUUAAUACAUAAAAAGUAGUGGGUUAUAACCAACCCUAUCACCAGUCAAAUUUAAAAUUUAAAACUUUCCCAUAGUCUACUUUAUAAACCGUGUAUAGUUUGUUAUUUAUACUUUAAAUCCUUUUUACUCCUUAAUUAAAGACAAAUGCUCAUUCACAUGCUAUUUUAAUACAAUUUUAAUUCGGAAGCAUACAACAUGAUCAAGAAACAGCAGAAUCAAUUAGGACUAGAUUUUGACCCAAAAAAAAAAUUAGGCCUAGAUGCCACUGGCACGUUGCGGUAACUUGCGAUGCCAAUUAGGACUAUUUAGCGUUUUUUUUUUUGCAAGGAGUUAGGACACUGUAAAACUUAUUUAGGCAAUUUUUGCCUCAUCAGUGAUUUGAGUAUCAAGUUAUUGAAUAUACUACAAAUCCUAUAAUAUCAAUCUGCUACAAAAAAUAAUAUUUUACUAGCAUGUGGUAUUUGCGUACGAAAUUUCAGAAGUAAAUCAAAUGCUUUUACUUAUACUUUUUAUAAUUUGAAUAGUUUUUUAGCGAAUAUAACCAUACUAUGCAGAACCAUCACUUUGUACAAUUGGAGCUAACAAAUUGCAUAUCAAUCACAAUUUAGAUUUUGCUCAAUACCUGCGCAGUUGGUGAGUUCCAUCAGUAACACUACAUCAAACUUUUAAUGUUGUUUUAUACUCUUAUCAAUAUGUAUUUCAAAAAAUUGUAGGUUUGAAAAUGAUACAUGUACUCGAAAGUUAGUUACGUGGUUGAAGUCAAGCAAUUUUACAACAUCACAAGCAUUGUUGAUAGCAAAUUCAAAGAGAGUAUGGAUAUCCAAAUAUACAAUCAUGCAUACGGUAAACUUACUCUAUUUAAUUUAAUUACUGCACAAAUUUUUUAAAUUUAUAAUCAUAACCUAUACCUUCUUUCAUUCUUACUAGGUUAAAUAUUUUCGAAUACUUGCUUACAUUCAAAGCAUUAACAUAGAAAAUACAUUCUAUGAAUUAUGCAAAAAUUGUGGACAACUACGUGAAAGUCAUUUUUCAAAAAUAGUGUGUAUGCAUUGUAGUGACGUGGUAGACACUGUUGUUAGAUAAUUAAUUUCAUGUACCUUUAAUUUCAACAAAUUUUUCUGUAUUGUAUAUAACAUUUUAUUUGUCAAACAGGUACAAUGUUAACAUACAAAUCAAAGAUUCCAGUAGUAACAUGCAUCUUAAUCUACAGGACAGACAUGCACGAUUCGUAUUUGGUUGUGAUGCUUCUUAUCUCAGAGAAUUACAAAGGAAGAUAAAAUUUCUUAAUAUAUGUUUAUUUUUUAUAAAUCUAUUUAUAAACUAUGGAAAAAAUACACUAAUUUUAAAUUUCGCACGUACUUAAUUCUCAGAACAAUGGUGAUAGGUUGUUCAACCAACGAAUCAAUUCAUGCAAAGAUCGUGCAUUUUCAUUUGUAGUACGCAUUCCACAAAAUUCAACAGAAUUAAUUAAAUCACCAAUUUUGACUUUCGUACUAAAAGUUGAUUAGUGUGAAGAGUGUUCGCACCUUCAUGCAAGAAUAUUAAAUCGAAUGCAUAAUAUUUGUAAGUAUUUCAUUUUAACAACAUUUAAUUACAUGCAUUUUUAUUCAUAUAUCAUUCAUUUUCUAAUAUAAUUUCUAUUAUUUUUUCAGGAUCUAUCUUCCGAAAAAAGUAAUUUUUGAAUAAUAUACACAUUCUAUCAUAUUUCAAACUAUUGUUAGACAUAUAUUAUAUUUUAAUUGUGUUGGUAUAAUUUUUUAACCUUUUUUAAUUCACCCUUUUAUUUUCAUUUUUUCAAUAAUGGCAGCACCGUGCAUAGCACGAGUAUUCACACUAGUGUGAAAUAAUAAUCGACCCCCACUACUCAAAUAACUGCUGCUUCCUACUUUUUCUCCCAUAAUAUCUACAUGAUAAUUUGCAUAAUUGGUGUUUGUCUAGGUAAACAAAUAAAACUAGUGCUUAAUGCACACCUAAUGUGUGUGUAAUCAAAAAGUACAUAAUAUUUAUGAUCAUAUAUUUUAAAUAAAGUUUUUAUUACUGAAGCAAACUUUAAUCUUUUAAAUAUUUUUUAUAAAAUAAUUUUAUAUUGGUAGUUAUAAUAUUUAAGGGUAGUUAUAUUGAAAACAUAUACUUAAAUAGUUAAAAAGUUAAAUAGUCAUAGAUAGUUAAAGUCAAAAUAGUUUUUAUAAGGGUAAAAAUAAAAGCCCAUAAAGUGAUGAUAAAUAUUAACUCCAUUGUUAAUCUCAAACCCCUUCCUCAAAUUUUAUAUAGUGUAUAGAUAAGAAUAUGUUAGGUUGGUUACUUAAGUCACAUAGAUUGUGAUUUAGUUAUCAACCCCACUAUCCCUUAGUAAUUGAGAUAAGGUAGGGUAUUUAAUAUAAAAUCCUAAAGAGAUAAAUGAAGUAUUUACACUAUUAGUAAAACAAUAUUAAUUAAUAAUAUUGAUUAAUUAAUUGCUCUUACCAAAGAGUGGGAUAUAAAAAAUGUUCGGGGUUUUACACCAAGUAUGUUUAUUAGUUUAAUUAUCGGAAACUUGAAACUUCAAUGGUUAUUUUCUUUAAAUUCAAUGCUGUAUUACUUCUUAUGCUACGUGUGAGCAAUUAUAAAGAAUCGUACGAUAGGGAAAAAAAAAGGAAGAAAACGAAAAGUAUAUGGAAGUUAGAAAGUGAUAGACAGAAAGAAUCUAUUCUUUUUUUUCGAAACGGAAAUAAACACACACACACACACAACUAAUUAAACCACACACAGAAGUAAAUGAGAAAUAAACACACACACACACAACUAAUUAAACCACACACAGAAGUAAACGAAAAAUCGAUCCGAAAGUAAUUUAAGAGGAACCAUAAAGAAUCACUUUUCAGCCAAUUGAUGACAGAACAAGAUCCCUGUGGACCUUAAAUUCAGAAUGAAAACCCCACGAUCUUUCGAUAUGGGAUAGGAAGUCCCUAACCCCUCCCGUGCACACCCUCACCAGCCAAUGGGUUUGUCAGAAAGAAUCUACUCACGUUUGUGUAAAGUAGUCUAAAACAGUUAAAGGUCAUAUUUACUGAAUGUGUGCAGGCACUAAUUAACUAGAUUAUUUGAGAUUGACUUUUCAUUUUCGCCGACAAAAACAAAUUACCUCGGUUCUGACAUUGUUCAAGAAGGAAACAAAAAGCAAUCACAUGUUCCAAGAACUAUGAGAUAUUGGAUCUAUUUGAAUAGGAGAUUAUUUUUUUAAAAAAAUUUAUUUGAAAUAAUACUGUUAUACUUUUUAUGACAUGAAAUAAAGAGAUGAUUGAAAUUUGUAUUUAUGAUACAAGCAGAACAAAAUUUGAAUUUUUUUUGCAAAUCUUGAUAACCAAACAAACCCUAUAUUCUUGUAAAUGUGACAUGUGGGUGGUUCCUUUUUUUUUUUUUUUUUGGGGGAGGCUAAUGUAAUCUUGUCUACUGUAAAGUAAGAUUUAUGUAUGACUCUUAGUGAAUGCGAUUUAUGUAUGACUCUUAGUGAAUGCAAUGUUGAUGUAAUGUUGAUGUAAUCUUGUCUACCCUAAAGUAAGAUUCAUGUAUGACGUUAGCAAGUACCACUAUUUGAGAAUUUACUAAAUAUUUUAUAUAUAGAUUCUGUUUUCUCGAUUUGUGAGUUGUCAUCCUUGUGUUGGGGCCACAGUAAUGUUCUUCGUAUUGGUUCAAUCAUUCUUGUAAACUAGGGAGUUGAAAAACCGUGCAACCCAUGGUUUUGCAUAUAUUAUAGUGCCCAGGAUUAUGUGUAAUUAUGCUAAGAAUGGGCUUGAAUAUACACACGUAUGUUUGUUUUUUCAGAUUAAAUAGUAGGAUAAUAUAUUGGAGGUUUAAAAAGAGUAUUGUUUAUUGGGAAAACAAUUUCAAUUUACAUUGAAUUUAUAUAUAUAGUGAAUAUGGUGUGUUUGAAUUAACAAGUAUUUAAAUUACAUAGGAAUAGAUUUCUAAUAUAGUAUUUGGUAAAGAAUGAUUAAAAUAGAGUAAUCACACGCUAGAGAAUGCAUGGAUAGAAACAUUUUGACUAAAAAAAAGUGAAAAAAGAAUAAUUGUGGGAAAUUGCAUUGAUAUUUAAAGGAAUUAUGUUUAAUUAACGUGAAAAAUUAUAGUUUAUUAGGAAUAGGAGUUGGAAUGUGCAUGAUCAUAAUGACAAUUGUACCUAGGAAACAGUCAGCAUGAAGUAACAACUCCUAAAAGAAAAUAUGUUCUACAGAAGAAAGACUUGCGCCAAACGAAAAUGACAUUGACACCCUUCCUUAAUAUUUUCUCUACUUAAAAAAGCUCAGAUGAUAAUUCAAAGGUAGUAAUAAUUUGUUCAAACUAAAUAAUUUAACAGAGAAAAGCAUUAUUAUUUAAAAAUUAUAAUAAUAACCAUCAUACUAUUUUUAAUGAAAAUUAAUAAAAUAACUUACUAAAUUAAAAAAAGUGAAAAUGAAAGCACAUUCAAUGAAAAUGAUAUAAAACAUAAAUUAUGGAAAAUAUUAAUUCUUUACAUAAAAAGAAACUAAUUGUUUGUACGAAGUAAUUUAAUCAGAAGGAUAAACAUUUUAUGGAAACAAUCACACCCUAUUUAAUGAUAAUAAGAAUAAUAUAAAUUAAACCAAAAACAAACUAAUUGUCUGUACCAAAUAAAUUAAUCAUAACGAUAAACAUUUUAUCCAAAUAAUCACAGGACAUCUAAUUAUAUAAUAAGAAUAAUAUAAAUGAUAACUUCUUUUUUUUAACAUAGACAUUAAUUCCUUUUACAAUAGAAUAUAAUUUAAUGAUGAGCAUAAACAUUUAUUCAAAACUUUACUAAUCAAAGGACAAAUUAAUUAGAUGUCCCACAUAGGGCUUGGUUCCUUUUAAUAAGUAAUUUGAUGAAAAGGAUAAAGAUAUACUAACGGCAUUUAAUAAUAAUGACAAACACAAAUACAAGAUAAUUAAUGAGAAACAUAAAUAUUUAUUCAAACCAUUACGAAUGAAAUGAGAAAUAUGUCCUAGACCGAAAUCAAUUUUUUGUAGUAGAUAAUUUAAUAAAAAGGAUAAACAUUUAUUGAAGGCUUUUAAUAACAAAAAAAACACGAGCAUUUAAUAAUAAACAACGGCAUUAGAAUACAAGAUAAGAUUGAAUAUCCCAAAAAUAAGGAUACAAAAGUCAUUUUUAAAUGAAUUAAUACAUUUUCUUGAGCCAAGAGCCAACAACUACAAUCAUUUCUUGCAUUUAAUAAUUUCUACUCAACACACAAAUGUACAAACCCAACAGACAUGCAUCCACUAAAAUUUGUAAUCCUUUAUUGAUCAACAGCACAUCAUAUAAUUAUAACCCCCCCCCCCCUACCACCCACCCACCGAAAAAAAAAAGAAAAAAAGAAGAGGAACAGUAAGAGGACGACGAAAAUUAGCUCCACGUUUUCCUUAGCAACUUUGUCUAUUAGUUUGGCAAAAAAAAGGCUUCUGUUUUACUGCAAGAUAAAGAUAAAUCAAUAUCUAUUGAAUCAAACCAAUAACAAAGGCAUGGUUAAAAAAAAUUAGUGAAGAUUACACUCUAGUUUUUGCAAUUAUAAGAAUAUCUCCUGAGUUUCGAUAAAAAUUACUCUAGUUUUCUUCUCAAUUUUUUGGUUUCGAGAUUUACCCUUUUUUUAAGGUGAAAAAUGACAGUCAACAUGUUGGAGUUUAACACAAUAAGUUGUAGCAAUAGGACAAGCAAGCACCACCUAGGGAGCCAGGAUGUGCUGCUUUGUUUGGAUUGUAAGUUAUUUGAGAUAUUUUUACUGUAGCACUUUUUGUGAUGUGAUGUAUGUGAGAUAAAAAAAUAAUUGAGAAGAUAAAAAGGUAUAUUGAAAAUUGUAAUGAUGAUGUAAGUAAAUAUAUUUGAAAAGAUAAUCAGCUGUCCAAACAAAUCCAAAUAGUAGAUAACUAUAUAUCAAACAUUCCAAAUAGUAGGUUGAUGGGUACGUAUUUACGAAAUUAUUACAUAUGAUGGUCCAGGAACCUCACCAGCAUCUUAUAAGUCACGCAAGCACCGUGUUGGAAAAGUCUCUAAUGUACUAGCAUUCUACUAAUAGUAUACAGUAACAUCACUGAGCUUGCAUUUGUAGUUAUCAUCAAACUAAUAAAUUACACGUUCUUUAUCCUUUUAUCAAGUGCGUGUAUACACAUAUAUACAUACAUACAUACAUAUAUAUAUGUAUAUUAAUUAAUUUUUUUAUACUAUCAAUAUAUAUACUGACAAGUCUAGCUGCAUGCCACAUUAUGAUAUUCAUUUACGUCCGCAGGUAUAUAUACUGGCAGUAUAUAAAAAAUUCAGUCUAUGAAGGCAAAAAUAUUUUUUUAUUUUUUUUGUAAAUAUCUAUACCUAAAGUGACGUUUUUCUUUGGCUAGUGUCGGCACAAGCCAACACGCACACCAAUUCUUGCAAGCAACAAUAACCAUGUUGAAAAGAUUUGAGUUACAAUCGAAAUCUUUCAAACCUAGGUACAAACAAAAACUAAAUUAAUACAACUAGAGUUCAUUUAGAUUGACCCUUUCACGAGUUGUGCAAGUUAUCCUUGGCAAGGGCCACAUGUUGUCGUAGACAGAUCAGCCAUGACCCAUUCCAACCCUGUUACGCAACAAAUAUUCAGCAAGAUUGGCCUAUGGAGUGAGUACAAGUAUUGAUCAGAUCAACUAGGGAAAAGGAGCUUUAGAUGCAAGGCUAACAAGAGGGAUUAUUGAUUAUUGAGUGCAUAUUUUUUGAAGCAAAAAUAAAAACCCAAUUUCGUUCUGGAGCUAUUUUAACAAUUGCUGAAAGGAUACCAAGUUUAAAAAGAAGAAUUAUUUUCCUGGAAUUGAACUAGUUGACCCCUCUAACAAAUGUGAAAUUGUUUAAACAUUUUUUGAAUAGGGAAUUCUAUAAUUGCGUCUCCCAAUUUGCGGACUCGUUCUUUUGCGGACUCGUUCAACGCUUAAUAGGGACAUUUUUCUUGACAGCAACUACAGCUUAAUAGGGACCCACGCGCCUUUGGUGGGACAAAACAUCAAAAAGACAUAAGAAGUAGACGGACAGCAAAAAAAAAAUUAUUAACACUAUGACCAAGAAGCCUGGCAUUGAAUUACAAGCUGAUAAAUUUAUGUAAAUAAUUUACUAUCCAAACACGUUCGAAUUCUUCUGCUUUGCAUUCCAAGGCACAGAAUAAAAGCUCAAAAGCAUUUCUUUGUCAGUAAAAGUUUAAAUUUUUUCCGUUAAUCGGCAAGCCGUUUAGGAAAUAGGGAUAAUGGUAGAGUUUUACGAAGAACUCAUUUUUUUUCAUAUUUAUUUAUUCUUUGCUCUUAUAUUGGUCCUUGUACAAUGAGCAACAAGAAAGAAGAAGAAUACGAAGACUAUUAAGAGAGAUAACAAAAAAUGGACUACUUGUUUUUUGGUUCAAAUUGAGGUACUAAAUACGCCAUUUAGAAAAAAGGACUGUUCAAAAGGAUGGAGUAGUUUCACUCCAGCAUGGACGGCUUUCACAUACUAUUCUUUUGUACGAAUGGACAUGAAAUUGAGUGAUCACGACUGAAUCAUUAAGUUGUGUUUCCCUUCCUAUAUGGUUUGGCUUGGAAUGGACCUUUCACCAAUAGAGCAGAUUCAUUUUUCACAUGCCAUAUUCUUGAGACAAGGCAUUAAUUUCGCAGAAUGUAGAGAGAACAAAGUCGUGCACCAAGGCAUCUGCAAUUGACGCCUGCUUGCCCACUGACGCAACACAUUACACACCACAAACUUCUGCCGUGGACGAAUUGAACAAGACAUGCAUUAAUUUGGUCAGAUGUCAAUGUACUCGCGCACCGAAAAUUCUACAGGAUUUUAUACUUUAGGCUUUCUACACUCCCACAUAAUAAAGGUACGGCAAUAAUAGAGGGGGUAGACCACUGUAACAUUUUAGUAUUACGACAAAAUAUCUGAAUGACCCUCAAACUAUUAAAUUAGUUGAUUUUUAGCCUUUUAACUAUUAAGUGGAUACUUUUGUCUCUCGAAUUUGUAAAAGAGUAUAUUCUUUACCGUUUUGAUUAGAGAUAAUUUGUAAAGGGUAUAUUCUUUAACGUGGCCAUGAAUAUCACUCGGUACUUCUAAAAUUUUAAAAAUAUCACAGCUCCCCCUAAAACCAUUUCUUUUAUAGCAAUCUCACCUUUGUAUCGUUAUAAUAUUCUUAUAAUAAUCACUUAACAAGAGAUACUUUUUUUUUCUUUCAAUUCUACCUUUUUCUGUUUUCUUAUAUUGAAUAUUCUACCAAUUUAAUUAUAAUAUAAGAUUUACAUAUUUUGCCUAAACAUUUUCUCUUUCAUAAUGUUUUGCCUAAAAAUUGUUAAAGUAGUUUAGAUAAUUUUGUCAAUUCGUAGCUAUGAUAGUAAUCAAUAGUCUCAUCUCACUGAUAUGGGAGUUAUGUGAUAUUUCUGAAAUUUUAAGGAUACCAAGUGAUAUUACCAUAAACGUUGGGGAAGGUUUCUAAAAUUAUAUCUAACCAAAAGCGUGGAGAGUGUAUCCUUUUACAAGUUCAAGGGGCAAAAGCACACAUUUAAUAGUUGGAGGGUUAAAAGUCAGCUUACCAUAUAAUUUGAAAGCCAUUCGAAUUUUGUGCCCUUAAUAUUAUUAUCCAUCUCCUGAAUUACAUAUGUUUUAGUUAAAAAAGAAUUAAACUUCUAUAUGAGACAUAAAACAAGGAUAAACUUUUAUCUUAUACCUUUAAAGCACAUAAUACAAGAAUUGAAUUAUUUAUCUUAUAUCUUAAUUUUAUUUAUUUGUUCAAUUUUUCUUUAUUGAGUUUUAUGAGUUAGGAGAGUGAAAUUUACAUAGACAGAAUUCGGGGUGAGAGAGGGGCCAUUCCCCCUUACCUCCCAAGGUUUAGAAAAUUAAAUCUUUCUCCUUUAAGAAAUUGGAGAUUUUCAAAAAUAUUCUUAAUAAGUUUAAACUUUUAUCCUGGCUUAAUAAUAUUUUGUGUAUUUUAAACUUAGGAAUUUGGUUUGAAAUCUAUUAAUGUGAAGGUAGAUCAAGAGGAAACAUUACCAAAUCUACUAAAAGUAAAAAAGUAAAUAAUAAUAUUCUACCCUUCAACUUAGUAAUUCUAACUAAAAGGGAAAAUUAUAUAGAAAAUAAAAAGAAAAUAAUAUUCGUUGGUCAUAGAUUUAAAAAAAAUCAAGAAUGGUACCAUUCAUGAAACCUAAAUUAUGAAAGCAUUAACUAAAUAAUAUUUGGUAUUUUUAUACUUUUGUAUUGAAUUUUUAUUUUUUAUGUUUUACUCGCCAAAUUUACUUUAUAAUAGUGUAACAUUGACAACAUGUUAAGUUAUAUUUUGAAUAAAAGUCAAAAAAUUAGGACUCUUAGUCCAAUAGAUGUAAGAAAUGCCAAUCGCAAUCACUACAAAAAUGAAAAUCCUAACACACACAGAGCAUAUUAUAUACACAUGUAUAUAUGUAAUUCUUAUAAGUAUAUAAGAGAAAACUAUAGAUUUUUGAUAAUGUAAUAUAUAUCUUGAAUGAAAAAUUAUGAUAUUACUUUAUUCUGAUUAGUCAGGUAGAAGAAAGAGGAAGAAGUAGAGGAAAGGUAAAUAAAGGAGGUUGGGUGUGGAGGAUAGAGAUUGGGGGCUAUCGAAGAGUUUGGGAGAACGAUGAGGGGAAAGGGAUAGAAAUUGAGUGGCGAGAAUAGGAAAUUAGAGGCAGCGGGAAGGGCAUGGUGUGGAGUUAAAGAGUGAAGAGAAAAGUUGAAGAAGGAAAAUGAACAACAAGGUUGCGCGAAAAGAAAGAAGAAAAUUGUGAGAAUAUGACAUAGGUGGGAAAAAAAAAAUAGGAAGGAUGAUACUGUGAUAGGAGGUGUGAAGGUUAUAGGAGGCAUCAGAUGGCCAGUUAGCAGGUAAGAAGGAUGGAAAGAGUAAUAGUUUUUAAUCGUCCUGACAACUCUAAUAAGAUGUCUUACAAAGAUUAUUUGUAAUCUAUAUUAAAGUCUAUGAAAAACACUAUUUUAUAAACACUCAACAAUUCUAACAGUACAAGAUCGGAGAUAAAAUUAUUCUAAAAUUGAGAAAAAUGAAUUAGUUAUAACUUAUUUUUUUACAUUUUAAUUUUGAUAUAUGGAUAUAAUAUGAUAUCUUGUGUUGACUAUUGCUAAAUAGGUUUAUAAUUACUCUAUCAUGUAAAUCAUUAUUAAUUAAAUUAUUUUAUUCAAAUUCUUAUCGUAUAUUGGCAGGCAAUAGGUAAACAAAUUUUGGUUCCAACUUAUUUAAAAUAUUAAAAUUAAGAAAGUCCAUUUUGUACUCAUGAAGUAAAAUUUUUUUGAACAUAUUAUGCAUACGCUUUGAGAUUUUUAAUCUUUUUCAUAUACCCUUAUCAUGUACUACACUGUAUAAGUAUAUACUAUUAUUUUGAAUUGAAAUAUAAAUGCACAGGUUAGAAUGCUAAUGACUAAAAGCUAUGCAAUAAGAGACAAAAAUACUUAACUAUAAGGCCGCUCACUCAUAUAUCUCCUGUUAACUCUUUAUAUUAGAGUCAAGUGGUACCUUGUGUAAAUUUAAGUUUGGAAUUUCAAUUCCUUAACAAAUUUAUUAAGAUUUUGGAUCAAUCUCGUCCUCAAAACAACUUAGAACAAUCUACAUCCAUUACAAUUUCAAGAUGGAGUUUAGAGUGAUUAAUAUGGAGGAUUAGCAAUCAAAAUAUUAUCUAGGGUCUUAGAUCAUGCUAUACUAAAUGAACUUUAACGUGUAAUACUAUGACUUCUAGAUGUGCGUUAGUAAACUAUAUAUCAGUUGGGGAUGAUUGGAUAGGGUGGUAAAAUGAAAGGGAUUGUAAAUAAAAGAUUUUAAAUUCAAAACAUUUGACUUAUAAAAAAAACUAUAUAUUAGCUCUUUAAUAAUAAGUAAAUAGUACCAUUUAGUAAAUAAAACUAGCUUACUAAACAAAAGUUGAAGUUUAUAGGGUCCUUUUUCCUAAAUGCAUUUUGAUUUAUUGAUAAAUUGCCCAAAUAAAGUUAAAGAUAAACAGGUUAACAUGAUAAUACAUGAUAUCCAUAAUAAUCUAGGAAACUGCGUCUAGGUUAUUCUUUUAAAAAAAUGGGUUAAAAAUAAAAAAGCUCUCUGUGGUAUACUUAAUACACAGAGAAGCCCCAGUGAUUUCAAAACAUACAAAAUGACAUCUCAUGUUUUGAAUUAAAUUAUAAACUAACAGAAUUCGUUAAAUUUAACGAAAAUGACGAUUUCGACUGUUAAACUUACCGAAUUCCGUUUAACGAAUUCUGUUAGUUUACAAUUUAGUUCAAAAUAUGAUGUGUCGUUUUGUAUGUUUUGAAACUACGGGGAGCUUUUCUAUAUAUUAAAUAUACCACAUGGGGCUUUUUUGUUUUUAACCCAUAAAAAAUUCUAACUUACAUUUGCACAAUAAUUUUAGCAUUAGUGCAUAAUUUAAAAUGAGUAGAACAUGAGCAAAUAAAAUGUUAAGAUGCACUAUAUCUUGUUGAUAGAUCUUUUACAUGUCGGCUAAUAUAUAAAUAUGCCUUCUCUACCUGGCAACUAGGCCUGGUAAUUAUGCCCAAAACCCAACAACCCACCCACUAAUUUGAGAGGUUGGAUUGGGUAAGUUGGAUAUUGGGUCAAUUUUGGGUUGGGUAAUAAAAACUCACAUAUAUUUUGGGCAGUUUGGGUAUUUGUGUUGGGCACCCAUUACCCAACUUGUACUAAUUGAAUCAAGUGAAUAAUCAACACAAUCUUAAAAGGGUGAAUAGUUUUUCAAAAGCAUCAACUAUAGACUUUUUUUUUAUUAUUUUUUGCUAUAAACAUCUUUUGUGAUUAUUACAUAAUUCGCCAAGCAAGUUAAAAUUUUUUUACUUGGCCUAUUUUUAAUUCCUUGGUUACAUACUUAAUAGGGUAUUACCCUAGCUAUGGAAAAGGCUAGAUGUGUUAGAAUAAUUGCCAGAUUCAUCGUGACAAAAAAAUUAAUUUGCAUUUAUGAGUUAGAUAUUUAGCUACAAUGUGACUUUUUUUCAGUUAUAUUAUCGUCAUCAAAAUGUGCAGUAUGAAGAAUUUGAACAUUAUUAAAUUUGAAAUUAAUUUUGAGACAUUAAUGUCAACUUACAACUACUCGUGCCCUCGGUGCUUAAUAACUACCACAUAACUCAUUCAUGCUAAAAGAUUUUUUUUUUUUAUAAACCGUAUUCUCAAUAUGUAAAAACUACAUAAAUCCAAAAUUACCAUACUUUCUUUGUGAAAAUAUUAGCAUAAAAUCUUUUUUUGGGCGGUUUGGGUAUUUGUGUUGGGCAUCCACUUAAAUUUUUUUUUUUUUUUGUAUGUGAAAAUAUAUUUGAGAGAGUUUAUGUAUCAAAAUCUAUUAAUUAAUAUAUUGGAUCAUAUUUGGGUCAUGGGUUUGAGAUGACCCAAUAUGACCCAAUCCAAAAUAAACCCAAUCUAAAGUUGGGCAGGUUGGGUGUAACCUAUUUAAAUGAAAACACAAUAUUAACCCGCCCAAUUCCCAGGUAUACUGGCAGCUAAUGAUUAGUUGAUAUUUUCAUCCACGAUAAAAGAUUCAUAGAAGAUCCAGGUUCUCGAUAAUUUUCAGUCUCAAUUGCACAAAACAACGAAAGCACUACCACAAUUUACAAUUAGAAAUCACCAUGGUUCCAGAACCACAUAUUCUGAUUUAAAAAUCAUCUCUUCAAAUUCUUUUGAAGGUUGGAACUUGAACCGGCCCUUAUAGAAACGGUUAUGGUUAUAGUUUUUGAACCUCUAGUUCAGAUCCGAUUUUAAUUUAGAUUUUAUUCCGGUUACAAUUUUAGUUUCUUCCGAUUGCGUUUCCAUUUAUUUUAGUUAUGUUUAAACAUUUGUUGUUAUAAAAUUGAUUCUAAAAAAAUAUGACAAUGAAUGUAGGCAAAAAAAGAACUUUAUUGAAUUAUCAUGUGCAAGGAAAAAAAUUUAUCCAACUGAAUUUUAAUUAGUUAUAAGGUCUAUACUUACUAAUGAGGUGAAAAAAUGGUUUUUGGGUUAGGAUUGGGACUGAAGGUGUUGGAUGUUGACUAUUAAUAAAGAAUUCUAAACUGGUCAAAUAGGUUGAGAUAGCAAGUAUUAUUUUAGGCGGUUUAAAUGGCUUUGAAACCGUUGAUUCUGGUUUCGAUUUAAGUUUUUGGUGAACGGUUUAAGUUUUUGGUGAACUUGAACUUGAAUCUUUAAUCAUGGUUAUGAUUCCGAUUUUGAUUUCGAAAAUUUGGUUCCCAUUUCGAUUCAACAAACUAUUGAUUCGAUUCCGAUUUAAACUUGAACUAUAACCACCCCUAAUUGCAAUGAUGCAGGUAGUUGAAUAAUGAUUGUAAGAUAUUAAUAUAAUAAAACGCACAAACUCAAUAAAUAUUGUGCCUUAUGGGAAAUUGUGUUUCAUAAUUAGCUCUUUCAAUUUGAUUUCAAAUCAACCACAUCACCACCCAUAACUAUCCCGUGAUUGUCAAAAUCCUGCUCCCUAUACUAAUUUGGAACUUAAGCUUGAGAUGCCUAGCACUAUUAGAAUAAUACUCCCUCCCUUUUUUUAUAACUGACGUUUAAGGUUUUACACACCAAUUAAGAAAAGUUUUUCAUUACUUAAAUUUGUAUAUUACUUUCCUUUUAUACCCUCAUUAAUUAUCCAAUUUACCCAUGUUUUCUCUCACUAGAGUACUAAAUGGUGCUGUUUUACUAGGCCAAAAGUAGUAAUUAAGAACCCUAUAUUGGAAAAGAGAGAUAAAAUGGUAAAAUUGUGAAAAAAUAAUUAAUGUUGUAUGAGGAUAAUAAAACGACAGAUAAAAGUACACUAGAGCAAAUUUCUUAAACGUCAGUUAUAAAAAAAGGGAGGGAGUAGUACCUAAAUAACUGAAUGGGAGCCUCUAUAAUCACGAGGGGUGUGCAAACUUUAGAAAACAACGAAAAAUUCGCCGAUCCAAUUUAAAACGAAUUUCAGUAAAAGGAGGUUCGGUUAAACAAAGUAUAGCCAAUAUAAAAUGUUUGGUAAAACAAUUACGAGCCAAACUCUCAAAAAUUCUUAUAACAUAUAUCUCGGGCGCGUGUUGAACAAAUGAUACAUAGUGCGUUACAAUGAUACAUAGUGCGUUACUUGUACUUGAUUACUUAUUGUUAGACUCUUUUACUACUGGAUUAGUUAUAACCUGAAAUGCGAAUUUGGAGUUCUUGUUUAUUUGAAUGGUUUUUGAGAAUUGAAAUUAUGACUUGGGAUUAUGAACCUGUUGUUACUGGAUAAGUUUUAACUUAUCUUUUUUAUUAUUUGUUAUUGUUAGGAUUGACGAAUUUUAAGCCUUUGACCUUUGAAUACGGAUGUUCAAUGGUUAUUGUAAUGAUGUUUUUUUUUUUUUCAUAUUAUACUUUUUGAGCUAAAUUGAAUGAAUUUUGUGAGAAGAAAAAAAAAAAAAAAGAGAUCUGGUUUUGGUACCACAUUUCCUUUAUAGGAAAUUGAGAUUUUUUUUUUGGCUUACUAUUAAUAUUUCAAAUUUGGGAUAUUACGGAAUUAUUAAUUAUUUAGGUGAAAUCUAGCUACUAAUAUCUGAUUUAUCAAAUUAGAUUUUGGACGAUAAUUGAAUAUUGACAAUCAAAAUUUUCUUUUAUCAAAUUCUCGAUUACCGGCCAAUCAAUACCUCCAAUAGUCAUUCAAAUAUGUCACUGCUGAUGUGGUCUAAUUCGAGCAUUCAAACCUAGUUUUUCAAAAGAAGAAAAAUUAAAUUUAGAAUUAGCUGUUCAACUCAAUUAGGAUUUUACAAGAGUUGUUUGCUAUUGCAUCGGCAACCACCGACAAUUCAACUCCAUUUAACAGCAAUCAAAUCACAAACGAUUCAGCUCCAAAAAAGUAUCGCCGUCUGUCUGACGGGUGCUUUAUCAACAUCAUUAAGAUAUAUUUCAGGUAUAAUAUUUUUGAAAAUAUAAAAUUAUUAGAGAAAGUAAAUAAAUACAAAAGAUAGUAGAUACUAUUAAAUAGGGAAAUUAUAUAAAUGUAAGAGAAAAUAAUAAUAAUUAUUGAUAUGUAUAUAUACACGAUAAGUUAGGUAAAUACUAAGAUUUUGUUUGGAUUGUAUUUUUCUGAAUUUUUUCUAGAAAAAUUACUGUGAUGAUUUGAUAUUUAUGAGAUAAAAAAGUGAUUAAAAAAUAUAUUCACGAAGAAAUAAAGCAAUUUUUCUUUUAAAACUAACAAUCCAAACACACCCUAAGUAUACUAACGGAUGCCGAAGAAAAUCCAAAGUAUUACACUAUAUUAAAUCAAAUCACCGAUUUUAAAUUUAAUUAAAAAAAACUCUCUCUUUUGAAGAUGCUUUUCAAGUCAAAGUUUCAAUCCCUUCUUCCAUCCCGUAAUGGUGGGUCCCAAAUCUACCGCGAUUCUACGCCCACUAUGACAACAGCAUUUUCCCAACAACGAAUUCAAACACGUGACUGAAUUGGGCAAAUAAAAGUCUUUUUCAGUAUCCCCACGUGUUCAUAUUCCGGUACCGCAGGAAACCCCCCCCCCCCCCCCCCCCGGUCCCCAAUUUAUAGUGCUUUAUCUCCCAAACUCCCCUGUUUCUCUGACCCUCUUCGCACUUCUUCCUUUCUCAAUCCCCUUAAAAAACUCCAACUACUGACUUAUUUUACUUCAUUUCGUCUCCCUUUCUUGUUUCUGAAGAUGUUGAGGCUUAAUAUUUGUUUUUCCCCGAUCUUUUUGUUGUUUGUUUAUUGCAUGAAAAGCUCAUCAUCAUCAGCAGGAGCAGCAAUUGGAGUUGGGAUAUCCAAGAACUGUCCAAAUGAUCACAGUGACCUGUCAUAUUUUGAAUCAGCUCCAAAACCAUGUUUCAAGAAUCCAACCACAAUGGAGCUGAUUAAAUCCCUGAAUCAAACGUCUUCAACACGGCAGCAGGGAUCCUCCUCCUCGUCAUCAGAAUCAGACUGUACUGUUUGGACUAAAGAGUGCUCUGAGCAGCUUCUCUGGCUUGCAAAACAGCCAGAGAGUGUAAAGUGGAUUAAGUCUGUGAGGAGGAAGAUCCAUCAGAACCCAGAACUUGCUUUUGAAGAAUAUGAAACUAGUCGGCUCAUUCGGGAAGAAUUGGAGAAAAUGGAGAUUAGUUACAGGUUCCCUCUAGCUACGACUGGGAUUAGAGCCAUGAUUGGGACUGGUGGACCUCCUUUUGUAGCCAUCAGGGCUGAUAUGGAUGCUCUCCCAAUUCAGGUACGUUUAUUCAUCCUCUCGUUUCUGCUUAUACAUUUUUGUUUUUAAAGAAAAUUGUUUUUUAGGUUUUCUUUAGUUAAACAACUUGCAUGUCAUUUCUUGUUAUUUUCUCUUGUUUAGCUCAAACAUGUUUUUGACAAAAAUCAAUGCACAUGCUCUGACAAAAGGAACAACACAACCUACCAAUUAAGUUAACCAUGGUUAUUUGAGUUGUACUAAACUUUUUAGCACUUUUAUCUUUUCAUUUUCAUUAAAGAUCGAUGAUAGUCAGCUUGAUCGGGAGAUAUUGAUGAGUCUUGCUACGUGUAAGAUUACUUAACAUGAUUGUGUAAGUGGUAAAAAACUUGUAAAACUUGGUCGGGAGAUAACGAGUCUCGCCAUGUGUAAGAUUACUUAGCAUGGCUGUGUAACUAGCAAGGAACUCCGGAAGGAUUUCGAGCUUGCACUCUCAUGAAUGAUCAUAGUCAACAACUUGGCAAAGGAUAACGGAGCGAAUCACCAUUUAUAUAUAGUACGAUUUCCCGCCAAAAAGUAGAUGCAAUCUUAUACUGGCUGGUAACAAACAAUAAAAAUUUGCCAAGUACCCACAGAAGUGCAUAAUUUAUAGUCCACGAUGCUGACCAAAUGAUCAUUUCUCUGUUCGCCUAAAUUUGUUAAUUAGUGCGUAUUGGACAAAAGAUACCUUAUACAUGAAAUGUUUUUGUUAGUCAAGCAAAGUUUACCAAAUUUUUUUGUUUAUUGUUUGGUUUGUUUCUGGCCACAGGAGGCCGUUGAAUGGGAGUACAAAAGCAAAAAUGCCGGCAAGAUGCACGCUUGUGGACAUGAUGCACAUGUUGCCAUGCUUAUUGGUGCGGCAAAGAUUUUGAAGGCAAGAGAAAAGUACUUGAAGGUUUGUUAUCCUCAUUUAACUUCACAAAUUAAUUAUGUCCAUCAACUACAUAGUUCUAUAUAUGGUGAUCAUUGACAGACAAAAAAAAAAAAAAAAACUACACAGUUCUAGCUACUCAAUUUCUUUCAAUCAUUAUAGACGAUUGUUGACUGACAUGUUUGCGUUGCAAAUCUAAAAAUCCUUUGCUUAUUUCAAAAGGGAUUUUUUUCUUUUAAGUGACUCUUUCAUCUUUGCCUCCCACCUUGUGAUUUUCAGUUAAAUUAUUCUUUUUUUCACUUUAAUUAUCCUAUAUGCAAGUUGUAAAGAGCACGAAAAGUGAAAGAACUGCAAUGCAUCUUUUACAACAAUUUGAGGCACCAUCACUUUUCUCUGUACUAAAUGUGGGCAUAAUUUGCUGCCCCUUCUAAAUUUGUCAUUUGGGUUUAAGGUUUUGGACGAUUUUGUUUUAGGCUAAAAUGUAGUCCAUCGACUAGUUUUUGGCUAUCAUGGUAGCUUUUGCACUGGGCACCAAUGCUUUGUAAAUCAUGCACUCCAGAGAAAAACAGGUGCCUCUGCUGCAUCUUUUUAGAGAUUCUGCUUGCGAUUUCCUGCUUAUUAGUGCUUGCCUAUCAUCGUCUUUUCCCUUGCUGACUCACAAUUACGCUAAGUGUUAUCAUCCUGUCAAUAGCAAUUUCAUGGCCCAGAAAUUUUGUAGCAUUUAACGUCCUCGGUAUAGACAAAACAGACCAACGCCCUCUACCCCCACCUGAAAAUGGAUGACGAGUCAGUUUAGUUUGCCUUCGGUUUUUUAAGGUUAGAACUGUCGAUAAGGUUUAGAUUUCUAAGACACUGACAAUGACUGGAAAAUGAGUGCAGUGGACCACGGUACUGAUACCAUUACACCCUUUAUCCCCGCCUGAAAAUGGUUUAGUUCGCUGGUGGUUUUCUAAGGUUUGAAUUGUCUAAGGUUUAGAUUUACAAGACACUGACAAUGACUGGAAAAUAAGUGCAGUGGACCACAGUAUUCAUACCAUUCAAGCAGUUCAAGUAAUUUCUGCGUAGAAGACACGACUUUGAUGCAAACUUUUCAUAAUAGAUCUAGACCAGAAAUUUAAGAAUGAAGACAAGUGAAGAUAAGAGAAAAGCUGUGAACAGUUAUUGGUUGUUAAGUUUUCUGUACUCUUUUAAGACUGUUCAUGGAUGUCCUUUGAUUUUGACGGAUUAACAACCUGUGAGGACCAGGUAUGAUGCGUAUCUAGGAGAACCUUUUUCCACUGUAUGAUAUCCCUUUUGAAAAAUCCCAUAUGGCUUUGCACUGAUGUGAUAAGUGCAAGAGACGUUUGCCAAAAGUUGAGGACAAUAUUUACCAAUCCCUUGACAUCCUCCCCAGUUUGUCUGAUGGAACUUGUCUUAGCUUGAAAGAGAAAAAUGAAAACUACUGUUCUAACAGAUAUAGCCCUUGGAUUACGGGCCUUUACAGUGGUACAGUGUAUGCACUAUCACAACAAUUGUAUAUACGAACAUGAUAGAUGUAUACAUGAACAACGCUGUAAGAAAUCAACAUUUUUCAGCAUGGUAAGUCUCAACUGUUUAAUUCAAAAAAUACUGAAUCUAACCACGAAUUUGACUCUGCCAAUAUAUAGGCCUGUUAGUCUUCCUUCCAUCUUAUUGUAAUGACCAGCUGCUACACCUGUCACCGGAGCGGUCCACAAGAUGAUAUAAGAUUUGCACAACUGCAUAAUAACCAGUGAAUUCAUACGUGGGGUAGAUGUAACUGUUCAAUUGUAUCAAAAUCCGUGGGACCAUUGGACUUACAGGUGACAGGAGAAGCCCUGAUCCGUGGGGAAAAGUUAAUUCUUUUUGGGUUGGAUAUUUUGUUCAUUGCACUUUUUUCUUCUCCAAUUCACUAUUUGGAAACCUGCUCUUUCUUUUUUGCUUUUUUGAGUUGAGAAAUUUUAAGAGACAUCUCUAAGUCUGUACCAGAGUGCUCGACUUUAAGCUUUGGAGAUUCUGAUGAAUUAAUCCGCAUAUGCAUUCUGAAGAUGUUCAGUAUGUUGUAAUAUCAACCUCUAUAUAAUUAACUAGAUUGGAGUGGGGACUGAUUUAGUUUCAAAGUCUUUAGCAGAAUGUUUGAUACAAAAAAUCAGUUGAAACUACUCAAAACUAUCAAGUUUUUUAUGAGAAGAAACUAGAAAUAAACUGAAUCCAAUGCAUGGAAAUCCUCUAUCAGUUCAUUCGGAUGACAAUGAUGGAAGACAUUUCUACUUGAGCAACAUAUUAAUAAUCAUAAUCUAUGCAGGGGACAGUGAUACUGAUCUUCCAGCCUGCUGAGGAAGCUGGGAAUGGAGCAAAGAGAAUGAUAGGAGAUGGGGCAAUUGAAGACGUUGAAGCCAUAUUUGGACUUCAUGUAUCACAUUUGCAUCGAUCAGGCAUCAUUGGAUCAAGACCUGGACCUCUACUUGCAGGCUGUGGCUUCUUUAGAGCCACAAUCAGCGGAAAAGAGGGUCAAGCCGGGAAUCCUCAUCACUCUGUCGACCCCGUGCUUGCUGCCUCAGCUAUUGUAAUCAGUUUACAAAACAUUGUGUCCCGUGAAGCAAAUCCCCUGGACUGUCAGGUGCGUGUAUAUCCCCAAAAAAAAAAAAAACUUCAACCUACAGUCUACUUUACAGUCCUCAGUUUUAGCUAUUUGGUAAAAGAUACCUUGGUAAUUUUAUCAAGAUAAUCAAGUACUUCCACAAAACUCAACAACGCAAGAAAUGGUAUGUAAUGCUGCAGUCAUAUCUCUAAAAAGAGGAACAGGAAGAUCCCAUUAAUCAUUGUCGGUCAAGUUAACUGGCCAUUAGACAACCUGAUAACGAUGGACUCCUAAAAACUUCUCAAAGUAGGAACAUGUGGAUGAAUGGUAAAAAUGAUCAGAUGAGAACAUUAUUCUGAUGACUAUGCAUAAGAUGCACCAGUUGCUGAUUGAUUUCCGAAUGCCUAUCAAUUUUCAGGUGGUUUCAGUAACGUCCUUUAAUGCUGGGGAAGAUCUAGAUUCUAUACCUGAUACGGUCAUACUUCAGGGCACCUUCAGGGCUUUCUCUAACACAAGCUUCUACCAAAUCCUAGCAAGGAUUAACCAGGUUUGUCAUUAAGCAUUGUUACUCAGAUCAAUUUAGCUUGCUUAUAUCUUCUUGUGAUCGUCCAACAAAGAAGCUGAUACUUGAAUAUGCAUCAUCCGAUACAGGUCAUUACAGAACAAGCCAGAGUUUUCAGAUGCUCAGCAACAGUUGAGUUGUUUGAGAACGAGGAUCGAAUUUAUCCACCAACGGUGAAUGAAGAACAGAUGCACGAGCACGUGAAGAAGGUCUCUAUUGACCUACUAGGUCCUCAAAAUUUCAUGCUUGCUGAGCCAGUGAUGGGUGCUGAAGAUUUCUCAUUCUACAACCAAGUAAUCCCUUCUGCCUUCUUCUUCAUAGGAAUCAAGAAUGAAACUUUAGGAUCUAUCCACACAGGUCACUCACCACAUUUCAUGAUCGACGAAGACAUCCUACCAAUAGGUGCCGCAACUCAUGCUGCCAUCGCAGAAAGAUACCUCUACGACCGAAAAUUAUGAAGUUAAGGAACUCUUAACUUGUGCAAUAACUAAAACUUCUAUUAACCGAAACUAACAUUUUCUUCCUAGGAAAUUAGUUAGAUGAGUAGAGGGAAAGACGUUCCCCUAGUGGUCCAGAUGGAUCAAUAUUUUAAUUCUUUGUUAUUUGUCAAUAUUAACAUGUUAUUAAUUAAGAGCAAUUAUCUGCUUUGUUGAUUUCAUUAAGAGAUGGCUGAGCUCCUAAUGCCUUAUUUGCAUCAACUUUGCAAAGUGGCAUCAUUGCACAUCUUUCACUAUUUAUAAUAGGUAUAUCUUUUGUACAUUGUCAGUGUAUACAUAAUGAAUCUAGAUACACAUUACAUAUGUAAGUUUAGUGUUCAAAUUCAAAUUAAAAUGAUCUGACAUGCAUUAAAACCAUCAGUGUAUAGAAUAGAUUAUUUCUUUAAUAAUACGAAGAUAAGACCAAAAGGGUGACCUUUAAUACUUUUGCAGCUAUGCUUGACCAUAUUCUUUUGCCAAGUGUCAACAACCAAAGUUUACUAUUAACUUCAAAGAGCAGUAGCUUACCAAAAAUUUGACUUCAAAUUUACCACCAUCUAGCGCUUCAUAUUUCGUGUGCAAUACCAUCGAUGCCGUUGUAGUGGAAUUUAAGUUUUAACUACACUAAAACCUCUACAAAUUAAUAACUUUAGAACUAUACAAAUUCAAUUAAUUUAAAGAGAUAUCAAUUAGUCGAUAAAUUAAUAAUUUAUUAAUUUUAUUGAGUGUACUUAUAAUUCAAAGAAACACUCAUUUAAUAAAUUAAAGUGUUAUUUUAUUUUAUAAAACUAUUAAGUAUUCUAUGAGCAAAAGGAGGCUAAAAAUCUAAGAAAUAUAAACCAAUCCAUAUCCAAUUGAUUUGUAAAAAUAAUUUACUCCUAUUAAUGUCCUGAAUGUACAUAUGUAAUUGAUAUCAUUUAAUUCUAUUAAUGUCUUCAAUGAGAUUAAGAUAGAUUUAAAUUUUAAGAAAAAACUAACAACAGACUCAUAUUUUAGAAAAAAAUAUGAUAUGUAAUUUUGGUGAAUUAUUAACUUAUAAUAUGAAUAGGAACAAACAGUUAUGUAAGGUUUUCAAAAAAUCAUUAUCUUAUUAUUUUAUCAAAAUUAUUGAUUUAGCUAAGUCGGGACCAAAAAAUUAUUAUUCAAUAAAUGUUAUUAAUUUAUAGAAAAUUUAUCGUAGCCUACCAUUAGAUGCUAAUUAAUGCAAAACUACUUCAAACAAAAGGAAAAAAGACAUCAAAAUAGAUUUUACAUUUACAUUUCUUGGGGGAGGGUUGGAUUAGGUGAUAAGGUGGGAAUGAUUAUAAAUAGAAUGUCAUGGGUUUAGGAAGUCCCACAUACCAAAGAGAAACUGCAUUUCUCAUAAUAGGAAAGCAAAAUCUUGAAGGUAGGAUCCCAAAUUUUGGAAAGCUCUAAGGCUAUGAUCCCAAAAUUGGACAAUUGUCAUGCUACAUUCUUUCCAAGAAUUUUUUAGAAAGCUCAAUGGCUAUGCUACAUUCUUUCUUUUUUGUACAAGAAAGAUAGCCUUCCAAGAAUGAAUUUUUUUUACAUGACAAUUGGCCAAUUGUUGGAACAUAAACUUCGAACUUUGUAAAUGUCUUUUCUUUAAUUUUAAAUUGUAAAUGUUUGGAUGCUAAUUUCAAUAUUUUCAAAAUAAUUAGAGGUAGUUUCACCAAUUUUGUAACGUAUAUUGUUUUACUUUUUUCACUUGUUAAUUUUUAAAUGCAUUAGAAUUUCUUAGUAGUGCUUUCCAUGCGAUACGAACUGCCAUAAACGUUGCUCUUGCGCUAAUGGCUUCUGUGGAAGCUAGAAUUGUGUAAAUCUUUAUGAGUUUGUUUCAGAAGAAUUAGUCUUUCGAUCUCUUUAAUUUCAUAUACAAUAUACUUACUUUGUCCCCUAGUCUUUUAAAUUGGCUUAGCGUUUGAUAAAACUAAAAUUUGAAAAAAAAAAGUCUGAACUAAUUAAAUUAUUGAAUUAUUAAGUACUAAAUCUGAUACAUUUGAGCGUAUAUUACACUAAAUGAUAAGUGAAUAGUUUAUUACUUAUUUUUUGGAACAAGUUUUGUCUAAAAAAUUUAGUGCCACUUAAUUAAUUCAAAAUUUUCAUUUUUGGGUAUCGAACGCGUCUAAACAUGUUAAAAUCUAAUUUCAUUAAAUGUUGAAGUGGAUUAUUAAACAGCACCAAUCUGCUCUAUACCAUUUGGAUCUGGGGCAUAAACAAUCAAUUGUUCCUAUGUUUUUCGAAAAUGUAUCUGUCUGUUGACAAAUUCAAAAUCACUAUGUAAAACACGUGAGCACUCUUUAACAGAAUUUUAUUACCAACAUAAAACUAUUUAUCACGAAAAAUAAAUCUCUGUGAGUUUCAGUACUAUAUAUACUUGGUGAAAACGUACCGCACAAUUCAAAAUUCGUGCUAUUGGCCAAUUCUUGGCCAAAAAACUAAACUAAUGGAGCAUGCCUCAGAUCCAUAAUGUCUCCACAGUAUCGAAAACUAGGGUUAAUUCCAAAAGAUCUCCAAAAAGUAUUUUUUCUUACUUUGGCCCCUUGAAUAUUGAAUUGAGUCACUCUAACCCUGUGAAAUUGAAUACUUCCCAAUUCGAGUACCAUUGGCAUAUUUGGCUCCGUUUCUGAUUAAGUUGAUAAUGUGAGAUGCACAAUUGAAUGUGGAAAGACUAGAUGCCCCCAAAUAAGUUACGUUGAAUGCGUCAUGGUAACAAUACCUAUAAGUAUAUAUAAUGGAUCCAUAUGCAUCAAACUAUUGUCUGUACGGCCCCAAAAAAAAAAAAGAUAUAAAAGGCAAAAUAGACCAAAUAUGAUUUUCAAGUGCCUCAUUAUUUUUGAAAAUGGGAAAAAGUAUUUUAGAGAUUCCAUGUGUACCAUUUAGUUUACACAAUAGUUUUGUGUGUAUUGAUUUAUUAGACUAAGGGAUAUAUUAAGAACAUAGUCUAUCUAACGUCAUUGGAGUGAUUUGGUCUUUUUCAAAAUAGUAUAUGUAUCUCAGGUGAGCAAUUCAGACAGAAAUUAGGCUUGCUAUGUUGAUUAUACUUGAUUAGAAAAAAAAAUUAAGUACCAUUUUUUUGGGGGGGGGGGGUGGUGGGGGAUGUGGAUUGAUCUAAUUCAACAUUAAGGGGGACAAAGUGAAGAAAAGGUAUUUUCUGGGUGGGCCUUUUUAGAAUUUACCCUAAAAUCUAAAGGGGAGCAAAAAAGACCGUGCAUUGUUCCCUUUUUAAGUCAAUACGUUGUAUCUAUAUCUAGUUCCGAACUCUUUUGGAUGAAUCUAAAUUCGCUUAUGUAAUAAAGGCCCCAUUUGUCUAAAACUUUAAUGUAAUUUGCUGUAAAAGUUAUAGGAAAAAUUUUUGAAAUGUGUAAAUUUUUGGAUAUUUUGAAAUGUAUAAUUUAAAAUUUUUGAUAAAUUUUUUGAGAUUAUUGUAAUUAAACUUGUUAAAAAACUUGUAGCUGACAAAUUUGGCCAAAAACUUGUUUGCCAACUAGGGCCAAACUUCAAUCAUAAAUUAAAGGGAUAAUUACAGAAACCUCCCCUGAGGUUUCUGACAUUUACACUCACCUCCCCUGUGGUUUGAACAAUUACACUAACCUCCCCUGAGGUUACUAAUCCUUUACAAAUUAAAAUAUCGUUUUAGAGAGUGAAACUAGAAUUUUGUACCUGAUUUGCCUUUGUGCUACAUGUCCAAUGAAUGGCAAAGUAUUACAAAUUAAUUAACAAUUAAUAAACUUUAACGAGCGUAGUUUAUAGGCAAAUACGUAUUGCCUAUUUAAAGUACCAGCUCUUUACAUGAAUUUUAUUUUCAAACAUUUACUUUAUCACAAAUAUUUAUUCUCAAAUACAGAUUUGUAUUUACUCUCAAAUAUUUAAUUUUUGUUAAAUACAAAACCUACCAGUUUUUCUUCCGUAGAAAUAUUAAUAUAACAUUUUUUCAAUUUCAAUUACAAAUAUUUAUGUAUUUAACAUAAAUUAAAUGAUUCACAAUAAAAUACUUAUAAAGAGCUAAUACUUUACUCAUGUAAUGGAUGAAAGCCAUAAAAAAUUAAUAUUUUAUAGGCCAUUUCUUUUUUUUUUUUAAUUUUAAUUUAUAUUAAAUAGAAAACCUAUCGAUUUUCUUUUUACAAGAAUAUUAUUGUAACACCUUUUAAUUUUUAAUUACAAAUAUUGAUAUAUUUAUUGUAAAUUAAAUAUUUAAAAAUAAAAUACAUGUAAAGAGCCGGUAAUUUAAAUAAGUUAUGCGUGUUUGCCUAUAAACUACACUCCUUACUUAAAUCAAUAAACUACACUCCUUAACUUAAAUCAAUAAACUAUACUCCUUACUUUAAAUAGUGUAGUUUAUAGGCAAAUACGCAUAUCCUAUUUAAAGUAUCGGUUCUUUACAGAUAUUUUAUUUUCAAAUAUUUAAUUUAUGAUAAAUAUAUUAACAUUUGUAAUUAAAAAUUUAAAAGUGUUAAAGUAAUAUUCUUGCAAAAAAAAUCAGUAGGUUAUCUAUUUAAUAUAAAUUAAAUAUUUUUUACAAAAUAAAUGGCCUCAUAAACUAUUAAUUUUUUAUGACUUUCAUCCAUUACAUGAGUAAAGUAUUGGCUCUUUAUGGAUAUUUUAUCCUGAAUCAUUUAAUUUAUGUUAAAUACAUAAAUAUUUAUAACUAAAAUUGAAAAAGUGUUAUAUUAAUAUUUCUACGGAAGAAAAACUGGUAGGUUUUGUGUUUAACAAAAAUUAAAUAUUUGAGAGUAAAUACAAAUCUGUAUUUGAGAAUAAAUAUUUGUGAUAAAGUAAAUGUUUGAAAGUAAAAUACAUGUAAAGAGCUGGUACUUUAAAUAGGCAAUACGUAUUUGCCUAUAAACUACGCUCGUUAAAGUUUAUUAAUUGUUAAUUAAUUUGUAAUACUUUGCCAUUCAUUGGACAUGUGGCACAAAGGACAAAUCAGGUACAAAAUUCUAAUUUCACUCUCUAAAAUAAUAUUUUAAUCAUUUGGACUGAAUUUGUAAAGGAUUAGUAACCUCAAGGGAAGUCAGUGUAAUUGUUCAAACCACAGGGGAGGUAAGUGUAAAUGUCAGAAACCUCCCCUGAGGUUUCUGAAAUUAUCCCAUUUUUGAAAUCCUAGUCACUUCAUCUUCAACUUUUGUUGUAGGAAUUGAGAGCCGUUGGAUUAAAAUAUCUUUAGAAAGAAACAUGCGACGGGGUAUUGUCAAGGGCAGAGAUGACGAUGACGACUCAAAAAAUAUUGAGGAAAGGUCACCUGCAGGGUGCUUUCCCACCAUCACCUCCAGGGCUAGGACGCCAAAGCUGUAAACGUCGUUUUUGGCAGUUACCUCCAUUAAGCAAGCAUAUUCUACAGUUCAUCAGACAUGGAAGAGGAAAAAUAGUAUAUUAAGUAGAAAACCACCAGUCCAAAGCCUCGCGGCCACCACCAAAGCAUUAAAAGUUUGGUGGCGUGGGAGGCAAGAUUUGCCACAUUAAAGUGACUUUGUUUAAAAAAUUCAGGUAAGUUCGUAGUACAUCCGUCUGGUCCGGUAGUGAUUCAGUCCCCUUUGGAUUAUCCCCGGACCUUCUUAGGUCUGCCCUUUCCCUCUAGUGUAGGAUAAAUUAGGUUAUAUAAUAGUUAUCGUCUCUGAAAAAAAAAAAGUAGAAAACCAAGAAAAGGCUAUACUAUACAUAUUUGAUUUUCCUCUAAAUUGGUGUAUAUGAAAUUUCUUUGCUGCAUGUAUAUAUAACAUACAAUCAGUAUACUAACUUGGAAAUUGCUACCAGUUAGUGUGGCAAAAACUAUUAUAUGCUAGUAUAAAUUUACUUGAAAGGACAUAAAUUAUGGCAAAGGUACUUGUAACUCAAAGCAGAAGGACCUAGUCAAGGAGCAACCAUGUGAACUUUAAUAUGGUUUUUGCCACUGUUCAACUUAUAAACUCAAUUUUGAUUUGCUAAUUUACAUAUCCUCGUGUACUUUCACAUACUAUAUAUAGCCAAACACCUUUAGGGGGAAUAGAAAAAAAAAACUCAGAAUUCAACUUAGGUUCCGUUUGAUAAAACUGAAUCUGAAUUCUGAAGUCUGAAUUCUAAAAUCUGAAUACUGAAACAAUUAAUUUGCUGAAUUUUAAGCACUAAAAAAAAUAUAUGAAUGUCUGAAUUUUAAUGCUAAAUCUAUUUAUACCGUUUGAUAAAUAUUUAUAACUGAAUGCUUAAUAAGUUUAAUUUGACAAUUUUGCCCUUAUAUCCUUUGAUUCAAAAAAGAAAUAGAAUUUAUGAUUUAAUUAGUUUAAAAUUGUUAGGUAUGAAAAUAGAAAUAUUUAUUUUUAAAUCAAAUUAAUAUAAAAGAUGAAAUAUAUUAUAUGAGGAGUAUGGAUAAGAUGUAAAAGUCAUUAAAAAGGGAGAAAAGAGAAACUAAAAAUCGUUAAAUAGAGAAUAUUAUGUUAUUUAAUUAGAUACGAAUUUUGAACAUAAUUAGCAAACAAGGGUAGAUUUGGUAGAUAAGAUAAGGUAGUUGAAGUAAUUCUAUUGAUUCUUAUCAGAAUUAAGCAUUCAGUUAGGAUUCUUGUGCUGAAAAAAAUACACACAGGUUCAGCACUGCUUAACAAGUUCAGCAAAUAGAUUUUCAUUUAUCAAACACUCAAAACAUCUGAAUGUCUGAAAAAAUUCAGAUUCAGCACUUUUUUAUGUUAUCAAACAGACCCUUAGUCUCUAGCCUUUUUCCCUUCCACAUUGUUGAUUGACUAAUCGUCAAGACAAAGAGAGUUAAAAAGAGUACUUGGAGGUGCAUAUCCAUGUGUACCAACGAAUGCAGUCAGAUUGGAGGAGUCUAGGCUCAGGAAUCUUGCUGUGCCAAAGUCCGAAAUAUGAGCAUUUUCUUGAGAAUCUAACGAAACAUUCUUGCUUGAUAUGUCCCUGUGAACCAAUGGAGGUGAAAAAUCAUGGUGCAUAUAGCAUAAUCCAUUUGCAACAUCUUUCACAAUAUUAACCCUUUUGGACCAUGGAAGUUUCAAUGCUUUUUCAUCAGUUUCCAACAUGUUAUAAAGGAUUCCCCCUUCUAGGAACUCAUACGCCAAGAAUGAGUGUCUUGAAUGACUGCAAAAACCAUACAGCUUCAUAAUGUUGCGAUGUCGUAAUUUUGUUUAAUGCGCUUUUUGCAACAUUGAAUGCACCACUUUCUAAUUGCAUGAAUCUUCUUCACUGCAACAGUCUUCCCAUCUGGCAAUUCUGCUUUGUAAACACUUUCAUGCCCCCCGUGUCCAAUGCAAUGGUUUGGACUAAGGUAAUCUGUUGCUUCAAUAAUGUUUUGAUAUGCCAUCUUCCCAUCAAAGCUCGAAAUGGAUAACAAAUUUUGUACAGAUCCUGAAGGUCCUGAAGGCUUAUUUUCCAUGAUUCUUUUACAAGAAUUCAGACGGAAGAAAAUGCCAACAACAGUCAUGAUCAGAAAAAUCAUAGCUGCCACUAUAGCAAGAAUAACCAAAAGAAGUUUCCUUUUGCUUCUCCUCCUCCUAGAAUCCUCCUUUUUCCUUGGUGAAAGGCAUGGAUUUAAUCCAAAAGUUUUACCACAUAAAGUUUUAUUGUUUCUUAAGGCUCCAAAAGAAGCCUUUUGAAACUCUGGAAUGUUGGGAAGAGGACCCUCUAAUUGGUUGUAGGACAUAUAGGUAGAGAUCAAACUAAAACACUGAUCAAAGCUUGAGGGGAUGGUUCUUGAUAUCUCAUUGUGUGAAAGAUUCAUCUUCUCUAUGCUUGGCAACCAUCCAAACUGUUCUGGUAUUUUACCAAUCAGCAUGUUAUUGCUCAGAUCAACAGUUUCUAAGGUAGGUAUAAAGCCUAGUUGAGAAGGAAUACUUCCUCUAAGCUUUUUUUGACUUAAAUUCAAGUCCCCUAGUUGCAUACAAUCUCUCAACUGCUCCGGAAUUUUGCCGGUAAGAUCGUUGGUUGACAAGCUAAGUUUGGCAAGUCGAGAAAACUUGCCAAUUUCUAAGGGAAUGUUGCCUGAAAGCUUGUUCUCAUUCAACUUAAGCUCUAGCAUUAAAGUCAAAUUGCCCAAACUUCUCGGAAUCCCCCCAAAUAAUUGAUUUGAAGAAAGAUCAAGUCUCUGAAGUUGAAAUACCUCUCCAAGCUCAGUUGUUAUUUUGCCAGUAAUGUUGCUGCCGGAAAUCUUUAAGCUUGUUAACUUUUUGAAGUUACUCCAGUUUGAAGGCAAUUCGCCAUAAAACUCAUUGUAGCUUAAGUCAAUGUAAUCAGAAUUUGGAUAUAUCCCAAAAUCUUCUGAUUGAUUUCCAACAAAUUUAUUUCUUUCAAUUCGGGUCCUUUGCAAACUAGUGCAGUGUCUCAAGCUUUUGAGAAUGUUCAUAUAUUUUUGUGUAAAUGACCAUGAAGAUUGUAAUUACCCAGUGACAACACUAGUUUGUUCGAGGACAAACUCGCCUUGGUAAGGGAAUGCAACUGUCCCAUUUCUGAGUUUCAAAACUGUGAGUCUAGUCAAGUUGCCAAUAGAAGAAGGAAUAAAACCAGAGAGCUCAUUUUCAUGAAGAUACAACAUUUCUAGAAGCCUUAAGUUUCCAACAGAUGAAGGAAUUGAACCUUUGAGCUCAUUACAUCCUAGAUCAAGAAAAACCGCAUUCUUUAGAAGCCCAAACUCCCCCGGAAUUGAGCCAUUUAUAUGGUUGAUUCUAAUGCUAAAUAUCUAACAUUUAUCAGUUUCCCUGUUUCAGUUGGAAUUUCUCCAGACAGAUGAUUAUUUAAGAAAUUAAGGUACCGGAGCCUAGAAAGGCUACCGAUGUUGGAAGGAAUAGUCCCGUGAAAUGAAUUGUUUAUAAGGUUAAAAGUACAUGAGAUAGGGAAAGCAUGAAAAAUUGAGACUCUGAAGCUCACCAGUUAUACCACAAUUUGCAAUAUGUUUGGUUUCAACUCUUCCAGCUUUGUUGCAUCCAAUUCCAGGCCAAUUGCAAUGGUUGCUACCAGCUCAUGAUGAUAGGCAUGACUGACUUUUUCGUCGAAGCUGGAUUUUCAUGCCGCAAGAGCUGCCAUUUAAUUUCUAACUUCUGCAAUUUCUUCUGCAUUUAUGUGAAAACAUUCAUGCAGUGAGAGGACAAAAGAUGCAUCCAAAUACCAAUUUCAGAAAGAAGUUCAUUGGCUGUUAGGUAGAUUUAUAGAUGUGAAGAAGCUUAAUUUAGUUUAGUUCUGGAGGGCUUUAAUGCAAUGAGAAGCCUAUUUCUACAUCCGGAAGAUUUCUUAGUAUUAGUCUCAUGCAUUCUCAUCGCGUUAUAUUGUAAAAUUUUUUAUGCUCAAAACGAAAAUUCUAAAAGACUAUUUUGUAAGUUUCAAACUAUUUGAAAACCAGUAUAACUACAACAUAACAGGUAUAUAGUUAAUAUCUACUAAUUGAAUAUACAAUAUAAUUGAUAGUAUUUAAAAAAGCCAUGAAUAUACUAGCUAGUGAGAAAGAUUACAUCAUUAAACAUUAUAUGCAUGAACAUAACUAUUUAGCCGUUUUAUAUUUCUUUUUUUCUUCAUAUAUUUUUAGAAGUGACCAUUCACUCUACUUUAGUGAAAGAGAAAAUUAAAGAUCAUUUACUUUAGUUAUCUUCUAUUAUUUGAUAUCAAUGGGGCACCAUGUAAUUUUUUUUUUAAAACUAGCUAGUGAGGAAACAUUAUAAAAUAACUGAUUUUCUCAAAGGACUUUUAGGAAAUUUUGGUGGCUAAUGGGCUCUCAUUUUCAAUCCGCCACUGUCCUUACUUGUAGUUAUUGUAGGGAGGCACAAAUAUCUUAAAACGACCAGGAAAAAAGUGAGUGAGUGAGAAUCAUAAAAUAAAGGGCAAAUUACACUUUACGCCCUUGUGAUUUAGUAUUUUUUUACAUAAUAUCUCUAUGGUUCAAAAGUUAUACAUAACCCCCUCAUAGUUUGGAUUAAAGUGUCAAAGUGAAGGAAAUGAUCAUUUGUAACAGAGUCACCCAAAAUGUCAAAAAUAUCCUUAUGUAAAGUUGAAAAUUAUUUAUUUAUCAAGGAGGAUUAUAUGUAUAUUUUGAAAAUCAUAAGGGGGUUAUAUGAUAAAGUAUUAAAUUAUAAGGGGGUUAUAUGGUAAAAUAUAAAAUCAUACGGGGUUAGUGUGUCAUGUAUUUAUAAGGGUAAUUUCGAUAUUUUUAAAGGUUUCGUUAUGAAUGAUCAUUUCCGUCACUUUGACACUUUAAUUCAAAUUAUAAGGAAAUUAUAUAUAGUUUUUGAAACUAUAGGGGGGCCAUGUGAAAAUCACUAAACUACAAGGGAGUAAAGUGUAAUUUGCCCUAAAAUGAACCUUAUUCAGCGCUGGAUUGCCUCGACCCCUUUGCAUAUUUUUCUCCUCCCAAGCUUUUAUGUAUCCAAGAUCAUCAUCGAACUGGUGUCACUUAUAAAGUGAUAUCUGUUAGGGUGGUUGUCUAAAUUUAACCUUUGGUGAAAAUCAUCACCUAUUAAACUCAAAAUUUAUAUGGUGAUUAUUAAGAAAUAAAUUAACAGAAAAAAUUGCGGAAGCACAUCUUGAUCCAUGUUGAAAAACUUGAUACUUGAAUCUCUAAAAAUUUUGGAGUGGCCUUCCAGAUCAACAAGUAUUCGUCAGUCCUUGAGAGAGCCUUUUAGUUUCUUUUUGAUAUCUUUCCUAACGAUGAGAUAUCAGGAAAGAGUUAUUUUGUCGGCACUAAAAAAUAUGACAAUAAGAAUACGCGUGAUCCGGGGACCAUAACCCUAUUUAUAGAUAACAUUUCUGUUACCCUUUGGAUCCCUAUUUCAGCCCAUCAUAGAAAUAAAAAAUACUCUUAAGUCUCUAUACAUUAAAACCCCACAUCCUAUUAGAUUCAUUAAAUCCAAACCAUAUUGAUCAUUUAAUUGGACUUAACCUUAUUUGACAGCUUGCAUCACAUAAUUAUUCACAUGUAAGUCCAAUAUUAGAUUAAGGAUCCAACAAUCUCCCACUUGGAUUACAUGUGUAAUCUUAUAAUCAUGUUUUGCAAUAAAUCAUAUGAGCUCAAUUUUACUGUCAUUAUUAAAAUGUAUCUGUAACCAAUUCGAUCCAUCAAUCACACCAACAUAGGAUCAAAGCGGCCUUUGUUACAAUUUCUUAACUUGACCCAUCAAUGGUCAAAUAUAUUGAUACAAUUGAAUGACAUGAAUCAUGAUGUGGAUGUGUAGUAUGAAAAUUUCAUGUAAUGUGAUCAUAACAUGUCUAUUUUCAACUGGUUCACCUUAAAUUUUCACGAGAUCAAACCAUACCAAAAUCAGAAUGUAAAUAAAUCCAAACUUUAUUUAUGCAUAAGAUAUCCUUAAAUCAUUAAUAAUCGAAAAGUAUCACAAGAGUAUUUAAAAUAACAAACUCCCAUUAAAACUGUACAUUAUUUAAUAACAUGACACCCAUAUGAGUAGUAUGCUCAUGAAACAUUUUUGUAGCAAUCCCUUAGUAAACGGAUUCGCAACCAUGGAGUUUGUCCCGAUAUACUCUAUCGAUAACUGUCCACUAUGUACUAUUUCUUUAACAGUCAGGAAUUUGAUAUCUAUAUGUUUAGAUUUCGUCGAGUUCCUAUUAUUAUUGGAAUAUAGCAUUGCUGACUUAUUGUCACAAAAUAAUUUGAGUGGUCUUUCAAUACUAUCCAUUACAUGUAAUCUUGUGACGAAAUUUCGCAGCCAAAUUCCAUGAUUAGAUGCCUCAUAACAAGUUAUAAACUCUACAGCCAUAGUAGAAGAUGCUAUGAGGGACUGUUUAACACUCUUCCAGGAUAUGACACCUUCAGCCAACAAAUAAAUAUAGCUCGACGUUAACUUCUUAGUAUCUUGGCAUCCAACAUAAUCGAAAUUAGUAUACCCAAUGAUCUCUGACUUAUCUGACCUCCGAUACGUGAGCAUGUAAUCUUUUAUUUUCUGUAAAUACUGCAUGACCCGUUUAAUUGCUUUCCAAUGAUCUAAUUCAGAAUUACUUAAAUAUCUACCUAACAUUCCAGUAAUGUGCGCAAUAUUCAGACGCGUACAAAAUUGAGCAUAAAUCAAAUUCCCUACCGCUGACACGUAAGGAAUCUUUUGCAUUUCUUUUUCCUCGAAAGCAUUCUUAGGACACUAUUCAAGACUAAAUUUGUCUCCUUUAGUCACAAGGGUGUCACAUGAUUUACAAUUUUGCAUGCCAAACCUUUUAAGAAUCCUUUCGAUAUAGCCUUUUUGUGAUAGUUCUAAAAUAUCUCAAGAGCGAUUCCGGUGUAUCUGUACGCCUAACACAAAAGAUGUAUCACUAAAAUCUUUCAUUUCAAAAUUUUUAGUUAGAAAUUUCUUGAUUUCAUGCAAUAGACCCAUAUCUUUGUUGACAAGUAAAAUGUGAUCAACGUACAAUACCAGAAAAAUAUACUUGUUCCUACAGAACUUAUGGUAUAUACAAUCAUCUACCAAAUUCAUCUCAAAAUCAAAUAAGAUAAUCACUUGAUGAAAUUUGAAAUACCAUUAUUGAGACGCUUGUUUGAACCCACAGAUGAAUUUUUUAAAUUUGUAUAUCAUAUUCUUUAGAUCUCCUGAUACAAAGUUUUCUGAUUACACCAUAUAAAUCGUCUCAUCAAUGUCACCAUUGAGAAACGUUGUCUUUACAUCCAUCUAAUGUAAUUCAAAAUCGAAAUGCGCCACUAAUGCCAUAAUAAUUCUGAAAGAGUCAUUUGAAGAGAUCGGAGAGAAGAUUUCUUUAUAGUCGAUACCCUCCUUUUGUGUUAAUCUCUUGGCGACAAGACGAGUUUUGUAUCUUUCCACAUUGCCUUUCGAAUCUCUUUUAAUUUUAAAUAUCCAUUUAUAAUCAAUAGAUUUCGUUCUUUCUGGCAAUGGGACAAGAUCCCAAACAUCAUUGUCCUUCAUAGAUUUAAUCUCCUCAUUCAUAGCAUCGAUCCACUUUUAAAAAUUUAAACUUUUCAUGGUUUGACGGAAGUUGAUUGGAUCAUUUUCUAUCAAUCCAGUGUCAUCCUCAUGUUCUUGGAGAAAAAUAAUAUAAUCAUCUGGCACUACAUUUCUUCUUUCUAUAGUAGAUAUUCUUAAUGGCACUAGUUCUUGGAGAGGGAGAGUUUGUUCUUCUAUAACAGUUUGUUCUUCGAUAUUGUCUUAAUUUAUUAUGUCAUGAUCAAAUUCAGGAAUAGGAUCUUCAACAAGAUCAAUGACACUUGUGAGAAUUUUAAUAUAUUCUUCUUUAAAGACAAUGUCCAUUAUUAUAUUUUCUUCCUCAAACUCAACAUACUCAAAGAAUCGGGCAUUUCCUAUCUCAAAAAUUGAUUUAGUCGUGGGAUCAUAAAACUUGUAACUCCUGGAUCUUUCAGAGUAUCCAAUUAAAUAACAACUAACUGUUUUUAAAUCCAGUUUCUUUUUAUUUGGCCUAUAAGACCUUGCCUCAACUGGACACCCUCAAACAUGUAAAUGCUUCAAACUGAAUUUUUUUCCUAUCCAAAACUCAUAAGAGAUUUUGAUAAUUGCUUUAAUUGAAAUUCUGUUAAGGAUACAUGCUGCAGUCUUAAGUGUUUCUCCCCAGAGUGACUCCGGUAAGGUAGAAUGACAUAUCAUACUCCUUACCAUAUCUUUAAGUGUUCUAUUUCGUCUUUCAGCUGCACCAUUCAUAGUGAAUGAUCCCGGCAUAGUGUACUGUGAGACGAUACCGCAUUCCUCUAGGUAUUUAGCAAAUGGUUCUGAACGUUAUUCAGUUGAACCAUCAUAUCUAUCAUAGUAUUCACCACCACGGUCAGAUCUGACACUUUUAAUUCUUUUGUUGAGUUGAUUCUCAAUUUCAGCCUUAAAACUUUUAAACACGUCCAGUGACUGUGAUUUUUCUGAAAUGAAAUAUAUGUCACUAUAUUUUGAAAAAUCGUCUAUAAACGUUAUAAAAUAUAAUUGAUCAUUCCGAACAGAUUUAGGAAAUGGUCCACAAAUAUCUGUAUGUAUAAGUUCUAAGACGUCUAAGGACCUAUUGGAUUCAAAUCUCCUUUUAUUGGUUUGUUUCCCCUUUAUACAGUUAAUACAAUCAUUAAAAUCUGUAAAAUUCAAGGGGUCGAGAAUUUCAUUUGACACAAGUCUUUCCAUUAUCCGUUUAGAGAUAUGUUCCAAUCUUUUGUGCCAUAAUGCAACCGAAUUUUCGUUGGCUAAUUUUUUCUUUACUCCUCUAAUACUUAAAUUCAGAGAUUCAUUAAAUGAAACAAUUGUAUCAACUAAAUAUAGAUUAUCGUAAUCCAUUAAAGAUCCAAAAUUAACUAAUUUUGAAUCAUGAAACAAUUUAAAAUUUUCAUUUCUAAAUGAACAAAAAUAAUCAAAUUUGUCCAAAAUAGAAAUAGAAUUCAAAUUCCGUCAAAAAGACGAUACAACAAAUGUCUUAUUGAGAUCCAAAUAAAAUCUGGUGUUUAACAAUAAUCUAAAAAUCUCAAUUGCCUCAACUUGAACUAUUUUGUCAUCGUCCACGUAAAUACAUCUUUUAUUAUCAUUAGACUUUCGACAAUUCAGGUAACCCUGCAUAGACACACUGAUGUGAAUUGUUGCACCAGAAUCUAACCACCAUGUGUGUCUAGGUACCAAAUUAAAUUAACCUCAGAAUAAACCAAAUUAAGAAGCAUACCUUUUUUAGCACGCCAAGCGUGAUAGUUGGUGCAAUGCUUCUUUUUAUACCCUUCAACUCCACAGAAGAAACAACUAUUCUUUCCCUGGUCAACUGAUUUCUUUUGUUGUUUCUUUUGUGGUCCUGUACCUGCAACUUCUUUAUCUUUUUUUCUGUUAAGUCCCUUACUUUUAUCAUUAGUGGUUGACACCAUAUGAGCACUUUCUGUCUGAUCUUACUUCAACGUUUUCUCUUCCUCCACACAGUGUGAGAUGAGUUCAUUUAAAGACCAAAUCUUCUUUUGACAGUUGUAACUCACCUCAAACUGGCUAAACUGUGUAGGAAGAGAUAUCAAAAUCAAAUGCACUAGUAAUUCUUCAGAGAGUUUCAAUUUAAGUGCAUUCAAUUUUAAAGCAAGAUGAGACAUCUCCAUAAUGUAUUCUCUGAUAUUACUUUUACCACUAUAUUUUAUUGAAACUAGGCAUGUCAAGAGCGUACUAACUUCAGCUUUUUCAUUCUUGACAAACCCUUUUUCAAUGUCCUAAAAGAACUCUUUUGCGGUUACUGUCGUUUCUGACAUUGUUCUUUUGAAUACUUCUGGAAUGGCUUUUUUAAUGAUCAUCAAAUACAAGUGAUUCGAUCUCUCCUACCUUUCAUUAUUUCUCUUUUCAUCAGAAGUACUCUGAUUUGUAAGAAGUGGGAGAGAAUCAUCCCUUAACGCAAGGUCAAGAUCUAUUACUCCAAAUAUUAUCAAGAGAUUUUUUUUCCAGAACUUGAAAUUUGUGUCAUUCAACAUAAGAAUGCUAUUGAUAUUGGUAGUAAUAUUUGUAAGAUCAUUUGCAACAGAACAGAAAACAUAAAAUAAUUAAAACUACGCUCACAUAAACCAAAUAAUAAUAAAUUCAAAUAAUGGUAACCCUAUUCCAAAAUACCGAUGUUCCAUUAAUAUUUUAUUUUUGGACAAAAAUAUUAACUUCUAAGUGAUAUUUUGGCGCAGUAAUAAAUACUGACAAUAAUAACCUGUCAAAUAAUAAAUAUUCCUUUGGGUCAAUUUAUAAUUCACAUGUAAAAAAAUCAAAUAAUCAUCACGUAUUUAUUACUACAAGUGCACAUGCAAUUUUAUUAGAUAUUGAUCCUCUUUGGACCGAUCAAUAUUCACAAAAUUGUAAGUACCCAACUAGUUUUAUUCUAAAAUAAAUUAAUUUUCACAAUAGAGGUCACUUUGGUGGCAUAUUGUUUCAAUUAAUUUAUUUCAAAAAAUAUAUAAUCAUACCAAUAUUCAAAUUUAAAAUUACACAAAUCAAACAAAAUUUUUUUAUCAAAGUCAACUUUGAUCAACUCUUGUCAAAGCCUGGUCAAAUAUGGUCAAACCAGUCAAUUGGAUCAAGACUUAUUGGACUAAAAGCCCAUAUCCAUAAUUGAACCAAUUUUAUCAUUUAAGUCCCAAAAUUUCUUGAAGUCCAUAAUUGCUUUAUAAAACUUUAUAUUUAGUGGGUCAAAUAUAUGAACUUUAUAGGAUUUAAAUGUCUUAUUAACUUUAUUAGAGUUCACUUAAAUUAAAGAAAGCCUAAUUUUCUUAACAUAAAUAUAGGCACAUUAGCUCUAUUACUCAAGAAAUUAGGUCAAAGAAUUCAAGUAUAAUCAAAUUAUGGACAGAACAUUGAAACUCAGAAUGUUUUCUUGUCAAUUUUAAUCCUUAAAGUGGGGAAAAGCAUGAAUGACUUUCCGAAACUAGAAAACAAAUUAGCUUACAUCAUUAAAAGCAUACGGAUCCCACAAAAUAUUAUGCUAUCCGAUUAAGAGUUUCAAAGAAUUGCAUUCAUGCAUUCUUUCUUAUCAAUUUUGAUCUUUAAAAAUAGGGAAAUUAAAAGAAACCCCAUGUCUGCCAACUAAAGUUUGAUUAAAACAGGAUCCACUUAAAUUAUAUGAAACCAAAACAAUUGAUCAACGGACUGCAGCAAGUACGACCAGAGGCAUAAUGACCGAAACAUAUGACUAAAGAUUGAAACCAUGUAACAUGUGGGCCCUGCCAUGACUUUUGCAACAUAAUAGUUCUAUAGCCAGAACAUAAGUUAACAAUCGGCCAACUCAGACUUGACUAAGGUGGGACCCACUGAAUUCCAUGUUAACCAAACAAUGAAUCGUGCAAUUCAUGAAUUGCCUACUGUCAUGAAAACCAGAUUAUAACAUAUGCAAACAAUCAUGAUGCCGUAAACCCGAAAGCCGAAACACAAGGCAAUAAAUUGUGAACGAAAAGGUCAACAAUCAUGGUUUCAACAAUUAGCCGAUUCUUCACAAAUAUCAUACAUAAUUAUUCUUAAAGAUAAAAAUUACUAAAUCCAAAUUAUUUCUUAAUAAUCAAUCAUAUGGGCUCUGAUACCAGUUAUUAGGGUGGUUGUCUAAAUUUAACCUUUGGUGAAAACCAUCACUUAUUAAAUCCAAAAUUUAUAUGGCGAUUAUUAAGAAAUAAAUUAACAUGAAAAAUUGCAGAAGCGUACCUUGAUUCAUGUUGACAAACUUGAUACUUGAAUCUCUAAAAAUUUUGGGUGGCCUUCCAAGUUAACACGUAUUCGCCAGUUCUUAAGAGAGCCCUUUAGUUUCUCUCUGAUAUCUUUCCUGACGAUGGGAUAUCUGGAAAGAGCUAUUUUGUCGGCACUAGAAAAUACGACAAUAACAAUACGCAUGACCCGGGGACCAUAACCCUAUUUAUAGAUAACAUUCCUGUUACCCUUUGGAUCCCUAUUUCAGCCCAUCAUAGAAAUAGAAAAUACCCUUAAGUCUCUACACAUUAAAGCCCCACAUCCUAUUAGAUACAUUAAAUCCAAACCAUAUUGAUCACUUUAAAGCUCGACCUCUUCAACAUCAAGUUCACAAAUGAACUUCCAUCUCUCAUCGGAUUUGGGGCGAGACAAUCACAAUCCCAUCCCAAGCAAAUGAAUGCCUGAAGGUAGGUCAAUUUGGUGGUGGAAGUGCAUCACCAAACUCGAAAAGCUGCUUUCAUUCUUGCUGAAUAACUGAACAUCAAUCUUUCCAAGGUUAGAAACUCAAUUUCCUCACGUUUGCUGCUGUUGGAAUUUUAAUUUUCUUUGCAUCUGUUGCUGCUGAAAAUUGGGCUUCGCCAAACUUUAGUCGUUGGUGUUUGGAUUCAUUAGUGUAGCCUUGUACCUCAAUUGUUUGUCAAUUUGCUUCAACGAAGUUUAUGCCAAAAUAGACAUCAGCUCUACGUCCCUACUUGCCGGAGAUGGUGGCUUGUGGGCCGUCUGACAAGCUUUCGGACAGUGGGACUUCACUUUUGAGGUCCUUUGCAUCGGUACUGGCAGAUGGUACGAAACAAACUAAUGCCUUAGGCUUGGGAGAGGUCUCAACCUUUAAAGGAGAGCCAACCUUGCGCAUCUCUCGCAGGGAAAUAGAGCAGCUUUCUGUUCCCUUUCAGAACUCUUUGGUGGGGCGCUUCUCGUUCAGCAGACCACCCAUGGAAGUUAUUAGGAAAUUCUUUCUUUCGCUGGGUUUACGAGGUGACUGUAAGGUUGGACUCCUUGACCAGAAACAUGUUCUGAUCCGUCCGGUGUUGGAGGAAGACUACACCCGUCUUUUUGCACGUAGAAUCUGGUAUGUUAGCAGCUCGCCAAUGUCAAUUUCCAAGUGGUCGCUAGAGUUCAAGGCAGACCAGGAAUUAUCGAUAGCUCCAAUUUGGGUUUGUUUCCUAGAGUUGCCAAUCCCAUUUUUUCAGCAGACCCAAUUAUUCAAGCUUGCGUCUACUUUGGGAAGGCCUCUUAAGAUUGAUGCAUCAACUAGUGACAUGCGCCGUCCUUCCGUAGCCAGAAUUUUGGUGGAGCUUAACGUUGCGUCUAAUUCUGUGCGGCGUAUUUGGAUAGGUGAUGAGCACUUCGGAUUCUGGCAGUCUGUUGAGAUGUAAAUGUGGCCAUCUUACUGUGGGUUUUGCAGUAGGUUUGGCUAUGCAGAGGAGCAGUGCUUUCAUAAAAAUCCUUUCUUGCGAUCUGAUCCGCUAAUUCACGAAGUCCCUUCUAAAACACAGAAACAGUGCCAAAUCUAUGUUCCAAAAGUAGUGAAUGAGAAGGAGAAGGAGUUGGAGAUGACGACAGUCCAGAGCAAACCGGCCGCAGAUAUCAACAAGGAACAAGGAAUGUCUGCUGCUCAUGCUCAGACAAUUUCGGAGGCUGCCACUUUAGGGAAUAAUUCGCAAUUUGUUUUGGAUAGUAUUAAUCCUGAUGAUUUUCAAUCGAAUAUUGGGCAAAAUCAUAAGGGUAAGGAAAAGAUGUCUAAUGUUCAAUCUUUGGUUUUACCAAACCUGUAAAGCCGUUGGUUAUACGGGAGCCUCAAGGGUCUGUUGUGGAUCAAAAUUUGAAUAGAAUUGUAUCUCGGAUAGGAAAAGCUACAAAGUCUGUUAUUGUCACAGAUCGAGUUGUGGUGACGGAGCAUGGAACAGAUGUUGGGAUGCAGAAUUCGACUUCGAAUCCACUUGAGGAUGGGGAAUUCACUGAUCCGGAGUCUGAGAAUAACCAUUCCAUUCAACCAGCUAAUGGCGCAUUCACAGAGGCUGCAUUGGAAGAGAAGGCGAUGGAGGCUGGCGACUCCUCACAGCAAGGUAAUGGAAUUACAUCUGAUGUGGCAAACGGUGCGCUCGCGAAGGUAGACCAAGUUCAUGACCCACGUGAUAUGGUGUCAGUUGGAGACACACCCCUUGUGGGUACAAGUACAAGUACAAGAACAAACAUGAAAUCCUCUAUGCCUCAAAAUCCACGGUUUAAAAAUGUGCCACAAUUUAAAGAUGUGUUCAAAGAGAUUAAAUGGGAGAAAUUACAUGGUAGGAUCCCCUCGUAUAUCAAAAGCCUUUUCUUCAUUCAAAUACAACAUGCAAUGGUGACAAAAAUGAAGAAGAAGAUGAUGAUUCACAACGCGAUAAAAACAAAGACCAAGACCAGAAAUUAGUUCACGAACAAUUUACCCAAGUGAUUUCAAAGAAAGCGAGGAAGCAGCUUUCAGAAAAAGGUAAAACAUUGCAAACACGUCAAGAUGUUAAAUCAAAUUCCCAUGCUCACUCACAAUCCCACAAAUGUGGGGCACCAUUAUGUGGAUAAUUUCACUCGAUUCAUCUGUUAUGUGUUUAGAUUCGCAGAUUUUUCCAUAUGUGCAUAUUAUUGUUGAUCCUUAGCUGUCCUUUUUAUUUUAACAGAGGUCAGGUUUGGCCCCCCUCUAAUUCGCUGUACUCUUUUCGGAUAUAAAUAAAUUAAGGGAUGGAUCCCUAUUUAAAUAAAAAAAAGAUAACUUUAAUUGGAUUUAACCUUAUUUGACAGCUUGCAUCACAUAAUUAUUUACAUGUAAGUCCAAUGUUGGAUUAAAGAUCCAACAGUAGCAAUUUAAAAGAUUUCAGCUUUUCUUUCUUUAAAAUAUUUAAAUCACAAAAACAACUAAAUGUCGCUUUAUUACACAAAAGUCAACUUAAAAUCAUAUAAGACUACACAAACAAUAGCUGAAAUACACGUAAAAGAAACACUAAACAUUCUAUAUGUAUUCAAAUGUAAGUAAUUUUCGUAACAAAUAAUCUUAAUUGAAAAAGUAUACUUAAUCGAUUAAUUUUAAUUAAUUAACGGGAUUACAAACACCCCUCCUUAUACCACGAAAUCCAAUUCAAAAUUUUGGAUACCAAUAUUACCAAAAUAUCGGCUAUGUGGCCAAAAUCUAAUCACUGAUAUCCAAAUUACCAAAUAAAAGUUUUGACAGUAAUAAGAUGUUAGUCUUAUUAAAAAACAAAUAACAAGAAUUUGUUUCAACCAAAUUAUGGAUUACUAACCAAUAAACACCCAAAGAGGUAUACCUAGCAGGUAGCAGGGGUUGGACACGGGCCUUGUGUCCCUCUCAUCCGUGGAGAAGGAAGCGUUGCUUGUGCGUUCCAUAUAAUUCAUGUACAUACUUUACUUUCUACAGCCGGCAACCUUUUAUCAUUCUGGUGCCAAAUAAGUCAAGAAAUUGAUGGAACAAAACCACUUUAGUUAAAGUUGGUCACUAGACAAUGUAUAGACGCAGACCUGUUACAAGUCAAGGAUAUAAAUAGUUUUACAUGCAGUUAAAUUCAAAAGGUGUGUAAUAGUACAUUCAUGUGACCUAUGGUUGGUUAUAAUUUAGUUUAAGAAUACUGUGGAUAUGGCUAAUUGAAAAAAAAAAGUAUCGAGAUGAUUAUCUACAACAAUGAAAAAAUUUAAUCUAAAGGAAGUUAAAUUAUGAAAAAAGAAAAACAUAUUGGUCCAUUUCGAUUGAAAAUUAUUUAAAAGAAUCUUUUUGUAUUAUAUAUAAUAAUAUAUUUUUAAUGUAAUGUAUAUGAGAUAAAAAUAUGAUUAGAAAAUGUGUUUAUCAAAUAAUAAAAUUUCCUAUAUAAUGGUAUUAAAAUUUUAACAUAGCUUGACACAAAAAUAAUGGGUCUGUUUGGCAUCGAGUUUUUUGCCAUGUUUUUAAUAGAUAAGUUUUUUUGAUAAUUUUGGUUACAAUAACGCUCUAAAGCACCUCAAAAUUUUUAAUAUACACACCUCAAUGUAUCUAAAAAAAUACAUUUUCUUUCUUUCCCUUCUUUUCGUACUCCUCUCCCAUCUCAAUUCACCGCGGUCAGCUAGCACUCUGUCAACACCAACAUUGGAGCCCUUCCCCUUUUUUUUUCCCCUCCUCCUCCCUCCUUCCCUUCUCCUUCUCUCCCUCCUCCCUCCUCCCUCCCCCCCUUCCCUCUCCCUUUGGUCAUGAAACCAAACGGAGAGGGGGAGAGGGAAGCGAGAGAAAGAGGAAGUGGAGGAGGGGGAGAGGAGGAGUAGGAGAGGGAGGAGGAGAGGGGAGAGAAAUAAAAAAGGAGGGGUGAGGUAGUGGCGGCUACGGCCAGCAGUGGAGAGGGAGGAAGAAGAAGAAAGAGAAAAAAGAAAGAAAAAGAAGAAAAUUACAACGAUCUUUAGAAGAUUAUUUAGAAGAAUCUUUUGGUAUUAUUUAUAAUAAUAUUUUUUGAUGUGAUGUACAUGAGAUAAAAAUAUGAUUGAAAAAUAUGUUUAUCAAAUAAUAAGUGUUCCUAUCUAAUGGCAUUUCUAAAAUUUUGACAUAGCUUGACCAAAAAUUAUAAUUUACUACAAACAUAUCAUGCUUUUCUUAAAGUUGUGAUCCCAAGAAUUAGAGGUCUUGGGUUCUAAUCCCCCUACUCUCUCUUCACUUUGUAAAUCCUCUUAAAUCCCACUGCUUCCUUGUUUGAGAAAUUUGUUUUUUUUUUAAAAGGUAAUAUUAUUUACACUCCUAUUCCAUUAUUUGCACUCCUACUUCCCCAUUUUUCAUUUGAAUGAAACCAUAUUACUCUUUCCCAAAUUUCUUCUCCUAUCCUCAUUGGAUGGCCAAAUCUGGUAAAAUUAACUCAUAGGAAAGGAAAAGAAAUUAGGGCAAGAUAAUAUGGUCUCAUCUAAAUAAAAAAUAUAGGAUGAUAGAAGUGCAAAUAACAUAAUAGGAGCAUAAAUAACAUCACCCCCAAAAAAUCAUGCUUUUUAUUUUGCUUAUGUUUAUUUAAAGGACAAGUAAGCCUGUAACAAGAAUUGGUAAUAACGUGAACAAGCCGGGGAAGAUGUUAGAAGAUGACUCUGGUUUUGUUGGAGGCCGGGCCAUCAUUGCAUGAAUCUUUUUUUUUGGAUAAAUACAGAAUUUCAUUGCAUGAAUCUUCACUUUUAACAGAAAACAUGUAACAGAUACAACUAAAGAGACAUGAAAAUCCAUUGAUACAACAUAUUUGGAAAAUCAAUAAAGAUAAAAAGUAAUAUUGAAACUCCACAAUAUCAUCCGAAUGAAUCAUUCAAUCCAAUAGUUCUGUUUUUAUCAGAUCUAAGAGUUAUAUCUGACAAAAGUUGCUUGUAGUCCAAAGAAAAGUUUAGGUUGAACAUUACAAGACCUUAGAAACUGGAUCUAAAUAAGUCUCAUAUCUUGCUAGAACAUGACCAAAAAAACAAAGGUCUGCUUUGAUAACCUAUUUUCGAAAAGCAAAUUUUGUUUAAAACAUCAUCUACCAUAACACUCUAAAAUACCUACAAGUUUUAGAAAUACACAAAACAAAUGUACAUUAAAUAGGGUAUCAGUGCAGAGAUGGAUAGAGGUGAUAGGUGACGAAGUAUGCCGGUGGUGUGCUGCAGGUGGUAGGGGGAGGGGGAUGGUCAUUUUUUUCUAAAACAAAUACAAUAAGUUACAUUAAAGUUUUACAAGGAAGUGAGAACUCAAAAUUUUUUUUUUUGGGUGAAAGUUAAGGGCUUUAGUGCAUACUGAUACUUAAGAUGUGAUAUUUUCUCGUCUUAUUUUUCGUCGGAUUUGUCUGAAGGUACCCCUCAAGCACUAAAUAAGAGAGACCUCAACCAUUUUUUUUUUUUUUUGUGUGGUAAAAGUGAGGUUGAAUAGUUAAAAGUGCCUAAAUGCAAAUCAUGUAAAUUUGGUGUGCUAACAAAUGGGCUAAAUCCUUUUUCGGUUUAAACUUUUACCUAGUUAUCUAAUUCCUCAAUGUUAAAUCAGUGUUUUUAGUAUUUAAGAAGAAAUUUGUGCAUAAAUUAAUACAAUUAUCCUAAAAUUUGAUACAAUUAUUUAUCCUAAAUUAAUGAGCCUUGAAUUGGUAUUCCACCAUAAAUAGUUACUUCGUAUUUUUCCGUACUAAAUGAGUGACAUACUUGUUUUAAAAAAUCGUUUUAAAUCUUUUCUUCAUAAAAUAUUGGGUCUGGUGGAGGUAGAUAUUUCAUAUUUGUCUUGAAAAUUCAUUUUUAUUGGAAUACAUAUAGAUCGUAUGAGUCGAUAAAAUUGGAACAACAAAGAAAAAAUGAAAUGGCAAGGGAUGGUACACAUCACUUUGCAAUCUUUUUUUUAUCACUUUGUAAUCUAGUUCCAUGAUAAAAUUGGAAUGACAUAGAAGAUUAGAUGGUAUGGGAUGAUACAGAUGAUUUUGUAAUCUAGUUCCACGACAUUAUUAUGUCACACAAAUUAUACACCACUUUCAGCAUUACGCUGUGCUUUUACGGAUUCAUCAUAGUAAAAUUCAUGGAUAAGAUUUUCAACUAUAUGUUACGAAUUGAUUACGAAUUAACUUCACUUUGCCCCUUCAAAGCAAAAUCUUAAUUAAGUGUUUUUUAAACUCGAAUUGGAGUUUAACUCCACUUUGCACUUUUGAACUUGUAUCAUCUUCUCACUUUACACUUUGCAUACUAAACUCUUAAUUUUAUCCUACUUAAGUCCAAUCAAUAAUUACGUUCGUAAAAUUAACGAGAUAAAUAGAUAGUAAAAAUUAAUAACAGUGUAUUGUUUUGCUCCAACUAUGAUCCCUUAGCUUUUUUUUUAUACCAUUUUUAACACAUUAUCAUUUAUUUAUAUGGUCUUAAUUACUAAUACUAUUAGUAAAAUUAACAAGACAAAAUAUAGUGUAAAUUAAUGAUGAUGUAUUAUUUUAUUUUUGCUAUGAUACCUUGGCACCUUUUGAUUAUUUUUGGCACAUUAUCAUUGAUUCAUUGGGUCCUCUAUGAUGUUAAUAUUGCAAAAAUUGCCAUUGAUUGUGCUUAAAUAGGACAACUUGAGAUUUUAGGGUGUAAAGUGUCCAAAAAUUGAGAGUUUUAGGAUGCAAAAUAUUCAAAAUUGAAGUUUUAGGUGUAAAGUGGAAAAAUGAUACCAGUUCAGAAGUGCACAGCGGAGUUUGUCCUAAAAAUACAUAGUUGAAUUGGUAAAAUAAUACUUCUGAAAAUAUUAGUGACCUCUAGUGUACUUUAUUCUUCUCUCUUCUCAUAUUACAUUUCUCUCUCUGAGAAUGUAUCCUAUUUCUAUGUCAUUAACUUUUAUUUCUUUUUCGAACCUAUCUUACAAAUUACUCUGUCCAUAUCAAUUUUGAAAUUUUAAAUUUUAACAUAUUAAUGAUGUAGGAUUCUUUUACAUUUUAUUUAAUAAAUAUAAUUUUCGAAGCUCAAGCAAGCAAUACUUUAAAGAUCAUAAUGUAGAUUGAUGUAAUUAUGUGUAACAUGAAGUAAAGUUUUUUACAUCUAGUUGCAUAUUUUUAAUUGAUAAUUAUCAAUUAUAUUUGUGAUGUAUUUGUGACAUCACAGGUAAAUUACUAUUAGUCGAAUGCUCGAACCAAUGACCAUUAACCCAAGAAUUAUUCGUUUGGGUUUCAAAAUAUAGCCUGCAAACGAAAACUUUGAACUUACCAACCAGAAAAAGAACCAAGUCUUCGAAUUCAGACCUUUAUUAAAGUCCCAUUAACAAGGUUGGGCUUUUUUUUAUUGGGCCACAAAAUAGUAGGCUGACCCUAAACUAACCACUUAGGAUGGACCUGAGAGCUAAGAAGAACAAAAGCAAUUCUGCCAAUUAUACUACUCCUUUUGCAAAGUGCACCCUUAAACUCUAUUAUUAUUAGGGUCGUGACUUAUUCCUUAUUUUAUUUUACCACCUUCUACUAACAUUUUAUCGUAGAUUCCUCAAAAGAAGUUGGUAUGACAAUUUUGUCCUAAUUAAAAUAAAAUAAAAAACUACCCAAAUUUCUCACCUCUCUUCUUUUUUAUUACCUUAAAUCACAAUAACUUUCCUUCUUUUCUACUAAAAUUCCAUCACAGUUCUAUGACCACCACUGUAUCCAUUCAUUCCAUCCCUCAUAUUUGACUUUUUCUUUUUUCAUGCUUUUCACACUCUUUUACCUCUAGAAUAACACAAUUUCAAACCCCCUUUAUAUGGAUCUUUAUCUAUCUCAAAUUGACUAUUCGUCAAUCACCCAACUUUGCAAACCCAAUACAGUUCUUGUAGGGUUCUUUUUGUCCUUUCGGUUAAAAUUGCUUUUUAAACGAACUCAAUUGGAUUGACGUGUCAAAGUAAUUCAUAGUAUGAGGUCGUAAAUUGCUACAAUUGAUAGUAUAGGGAGAAAGUUGGAAAUGAGCACAGUUUAGGGGUAUAGUUUGCAAUUGACCCUAAUAGAAAUUUUAAACACGUAGAACCUUUUCUUUGCAUUAUAAUACUUAGCUAUAUCACGUAUGGGGCAACUAAGUGAAAUGAAUGUUCCUAAUAUUUAAUUGAGCUUCUUUGAAGUCUAUCAACCUAGUUUUUUUUUUCUUUUUUCUUUUUUCAGUUCAAGAGAGACUCCAAACCUUAAAAAUAAGAAAGAGAAAAACAGAGAGUUUGAGAGUUGUUUUAAAAGUUUCAUGGUCAUCUACCUAAUGUCUCAACCAAUUGAGUUGGGUCUAAAAUGGAGCCAGUAUUCUUGUCUAAAGGGCCAAUUUGACAAGUUUUGCCUGUUUCAAUGCCAAAUUUAGAAUCUUUUUUAACUUUUGGAAUCAAUAUAGUAAAAUUAUGGUUAUUUUGAAGGUCAAAAUUAACCGUACAUUCUACACAAGAUAGUAAUAAAAAGGGUAAAUGGCAGUAAAUCUCCUUAACAUUUGGUUCCAAAAUCACUUUGCUUCCUAACAUUUAGUUUUGAGUACUUUGCCCCCUACACUAAUGGUCAAAACUAAUGGGAAGAUGAAGGAUGGAAAUGUCCUCAUACUAGCAGUUGUUAGAUUAAAAUAUCCAUAGGGAUGAGAUCCAAUUUUGCUUUUUUUUUUUUGUAAAAAAUGACCAUGAAAAUGUUUGAAAAAAAUAUGUUUCAUCUCACUUGAUUCAAAAAAAGAAUUUUUAAAAUGAAAAGGACAUGAAACAAUAAAAAGAUUCGCACAUCUACCUCACUCUAAUACUUGAAAAAAUUAUAUGCUUUAAAAGUUUGUUAAAAAAAUCAAUUAAUUUUGUGAAGAAAAAUGUCAAUUAGUAACAUCGCCAAAAUUUGAAGUAACCAAUAUUUGGGACAUUUUUCGGGUAUCUAGCUAUUGAUUUGUUAAGACAAAAUGACAUAGCAAUCCAUAUAUAGGACCCAGGUCUUUCUUUAAAGAUGAUAGAAUUGUAUCUUUAUUUAUAAGAUUAAACCUUCCUACAUUAAUAGUAUUAAUAGUAUGUAUAUUAUCAGUUUUAGAUGAAUAAUAAUUAUCUAAAAUUUUAAUUUAAAAUUCAACUUCUUCACCGAAAAAAUUCAAAGUGAGUCUGAAAUUCAACCUACAAGUGUUGUGGUAUAUUGUAUUUUGAUCGUUUUAGUGCAUAAUUCAAGGUUGGUUAGGUCUGUUAUGAUGCCAUAACAACCAAUAAGAUUGGUUGCAUACAGCCCAAUGAACCCAAAAAAAAAAAAAAAAUCCAAUGAAGGAAACCUACUACUGAAGAAGAAACGUGCACAUGUACAUACUCUUGGAAGUUGUGGAUUAUCUGACAAUGUUCACUGCACGUACUCUUGAAAUUGUGCACUGCCAAUUUGCUUCAGACGGCUAGCCAUUUUUUGUUUUUAUUGCUUUUUCUUUUCGCCACUGCUGCAAAGUUCACGGCUUAUGACGGCUAAUUACUCAGAUUAUUGACAAAAAAAAGAUUAAUCGCACAUGUAUGGCUCUGACAGGGUUUUGGUACGAAUCUAUGGGUGUCGGGCUGUGUCAGCCCGGCACCGCACCCAAAAGGCGACUGAAAAAUUCUGACUCUGACACAGUCCGGCAGCGAUUUUUUUUUUUUUUAAAUAAAGCUGUCGGCUACCCGGCUGACAAGGCCCGGUAGCCGGCAGCCAGUAAAAUUUUUUUUUUAAAAAAGUCCAAUCGUUGAAUUUGAGGUGCCUGACAGAAAAAAAAAAAAAAAAAAGGUGGCAGCGUGUGUUAUUCGACAGCCUACCCAGGACAAAAAAAAAAGGCUGCCUGAAUGUCUUGCUUUAGCAUUUCGUGUGGAGACUUCACUUUUCUACGCAUAAUGCAAGGAAGCCAACUCUUCUGCGCAAGGAAGCCAACUUUUCUACAAUGUGGAGACUUCACUCUUCUGCGCAUAAUAAGCAGAAGCAAUGCAAGGAGGCCAAUUAUGGUAGAAACGCACAAAGAAGUAUAUUCGGCCUAUUCGGCACUGGUGAAAGCGGAUUAUUAUUAGAUCAAAAAUAUUAUAUAUUUUAAAAUCAUAAUAAAAGUCCUCUUAAAAAUUUGUUCAUCAUCUAAUGACCAAUACUUAUAUUUAAUAAAUUUAAAAAGUUAAUUAAAUAUUCUAUUAUAAUAUAAGUAAUUAUAUGUCAUUGAGUCGAUUGAAUAAUAUUUUUUUUUUCUUUUUUUGGCAUUUUAACUAGUUGUCUAUUAAGUUUCAAUUUAAAUAAAGAUUUUAUAAUUAUUUAAAUUAUUCAAUAAAAUUAUCAAUUUAAGAUGAACAUAAAUGUAAAUGCAUUAAAUUGUAUUAUUGAAAUAUUUGAAGGAAAGACAAGAAGAAAUGGCAAGGAAUUUUUGAAAAAUUCAUGUGAGUUUUUUAUAUUGGUAAUCACGUUUAUUUGUUAUUAUAAUCACAAUACCUGAUCAUAACCGAUUGAAACUCAUAUCGUAAUACUAUUUACAACUAAAGUUACUAUAUACUCAAAUUAAAAUUUUCUUUUUCACUAAAUUUUCUUUUAUAUAUGAUGUAUGCGUUAUCAUUUGUUGAUAAUUAAUAUAACGAAAAGAUACUCUUUAGGCUAAUAUGUCUUGACAAUGUGGAUUACUUUUAAGGAUUUUAAUGAGAAUUAGACCACAUUUUUCACGGAUUCAAUCAAAUUCACAUUUUAUUUCAUUUCAUUUGAAAUAUAAUUAUUUAAAACAUAAGAGACGAAAAAAUACGAAGUCAAAUUUUUGACUAAUUCUAAUUAUUUAAAACUUAUGCCACUUGACGUACUAAAUCUCUUUAGUCUUUUAAUUUAAUAAAAUUACGUUUCAUGAAUCGAACAACAGAAAUAGAUGAUAUACCUAUUUGUUAAAUCAAUAAUUACUUCUAUAAGAUGUUAAACUAAACAAAGGCCGUUUUAAAUGAAAAAUCUCAUUCUUUUUACAAUAAGAUGCAGUUCUCAAAUUGUUGAAAAAUUAUUUGCUAAAAUUGUUAUGUAAUUUUUAAUGUACUAUAUAAUUUUAUAAAUAUAAAUUUAUUGUGCAAUAUAAAAACAAAAUAGCCAAAAAAAAUGAAGAGAAGGAAAAAUGUAUAACUUCACAUUGUCAAAUUAUGAAUACACCCAAUAGCGAUAAGUAGAUGGCUAAUAAAAUAUUAAAAUAGCGCUAAACCCCCAUAUUCAAAUAUUUGAAAUUGUAAAACAUGCAUUUGAAAUGAUCAUGUCAACGGCCGGUACGCCUUUUGCCCUUGCCUUUAUCACCUGGUGUUGUAGACGGACAGUAAAAUCUUUUGGGCUUUCGUCUGCAACGAUCACGAAGAACUAUGGGCUCCUGUGGCGCAAUUUCUAUUGAAACAUCAUCAAGUCCUACGUCCUCCUCCUCAUCCGACUCAGCUAUCGUACUGCUAUCACCAUCGUUUUGAGACCGAUACGUGACAAAAUCUCCUGACUGAUCAUAUGCAGUAGUAGAUAUCGGCUGGAUCGACGUAGGCAUGGUCAUAGUCUGUCCAAGACUGUAAUAAUCGGGAAGGUCUGAAAUAGGAGGCACACCACCCGUUUCGCCCAACAAUUUGAAAAUUGGAUGUAGCUCAGCAGUAGAAGAUGAGGCCGCUGCAGUGGCAACGUAUCCAAAUGGAGGCUCGUGUGACGAGGAUGGAAUUUGUCCCCCAAAUACAGAAAAAUAUGGAGAGGGCGUGAGAUAUGUACCAAAAGGUGGAAACUGUGGCAAAGGCGUGGCAUCUAGACCAAUAUGCUAUGACCCUUGCUGAGGCGAUGUCACCUGAGGGGUAAAGGCUGGUAUAUUCUGUCCAGGUGACAAAGCAUGCAUAUCUGUCAUCGGCAAAGGCAUAGAUGUCGUGAAUUGAUGACUAGUCGGGGUGUGCGGCAACUGAGUGGCCCCCUCGGUGUUUUGAAUGCCCGUCUCCUCGAUGACUUCGUCUCGCAACCCAUGCCUGUGCCGCCGACUUCUACUAGAUUAUGGUCCACCUUGUGCAGGGACACGUCUCACGCGAGGUUGGAUAGGAAUUUCUCGUGCCACAGGAGGAUUAUGAUUGAAAGAAUCAAAAUCACCAACAACCAUGUGAUCAAAGCGUUGGAGGUAUUGCAUUGAUCCAUAUGCUCCAUCAACAAUGGUUGCAAGACGUGGAUGAAAUCGACCUUUAUGUUCAAGUGCGUCAUGUGAUUGCCGGCCAAUGCGCUGCAUAGUAUCCAUCUGACAUAUUCAAAAUUGGGAAAAGUAAUAUCACUCCAGAUGUCCAAUAGUAAAUAAAUUAAAUUUUGCGAUAACUUUAACUUACUAAAUACUCAAACUGGCCAGAAACUCCAUGCAACAUUUGUCCAACUUGUGCAUGCUGCUGGAUAGGUGGCGUAAUGUACAAAAUGGUGUGGGAGUGAUACCACUCCAGAUACUUAUUGGAAGGCCUGAAUGUGGUUGUCGGCACACCAGGUACUUGUGCUCCUGCACGCUCAUUCCAGUAUCCUAUCCAACUCCUAUGAAAAUGAGCCCAAUUUCUUCCCGCAUAACCGGAAAGAUCCAAUUGGCGUAAACCUCCCCGAUUAGUGUCAACUGGUUCCGGAAUUUCCUGCCGCAUCCCAAAUUGGCGCAUGACACGAUCUGGACAAUGUAUUUCGACGAUGUGCCAGAAUAUUAGAGGGACCCUUGCUCGCCAUAUGCGCUCCUCCCGUUUGCAGUAAUCAGGUAGAUUAGCCAGUAUACCAUCACUAUACGGCAUCCAAAUAAAUUGCCACCAUAACCAGAAUUUAGGUACGAUCCAAAAUUACUGAUAUCACUAUAAAAUAUACUUUAUUGAGAUAUAAGACUUUAUACCUAAUCCAUUCGUAAUAAGGCUAGCUGCUCCCGAUAAUAUGUGCUGGAUUGGCUGUAAGGGUCAACCCUUGUUCGUUCGGCAGCCCAUCUACCACCUCUAGGAAAAUCUCCAAUUCCAGAAUAUGGGAGUACAACAUGACGAAUCACGGGAAUCCGCUCCCACGCCCAAAGAUGUAGUAACAUGUACGGACCUCUAGAUGUGAUUGUAGAAGCACGUGAUGCAUGGCACAAUCGUGAGUAUAAACACGCCAAAGUCGCAGAUCCCCAACUAUACUGACUCAUGGCAUCCAAAUCACGAACAAAGUCUAGCCAAUUUAAACUGACGACAUUCUGACACGAAUAUGCAAAUAGCAAUCCACCCAAUAGAAUCAGGAUAUACAUACGGGCGUAGUGGCGAACCAUCUGAUCAGAAGCAUCUGCCGGCAGUGGUGUACUCAAUUGUCGGGAUAUGGACGAUAACUUUAGAUGACCGUGGUUGAGCAUGUUAUCUUCUGGCCAAUAUCCCAAAAGGUCGCUAACCAACUGUUUGCGUUGCAAUGGACUACGUUUGCUGUGUACCAAUAUGACAGGUAGACCAUCAACGCUUAAACCCUAUAAAACCUCCACAUCCUGCAGAGUUACAGUCGCCUCUCUCAUAAUUGGAAGGUGAAAAGUGUGUCUUUUGCCUCCAACGCUCCACAAGUGCAUUUAUAAGGCCAUGAUCUACUGUGAGAUAACCGACUCUGCGAAUGCCAUAAAAGCCAGCAGCAUCGAUGUAUUGCGCAACCCGCUCAUCUAAAUGUAUAAGAGGUUGAAAAAAUCUCUUAUCACAGCGCCGAACAUCUAAAUCCACACCAGUGCCUUGAAAAAUUGCAGCUGAUCUAUGUUCGGAUUGUAGAUAUAAAACACUCUCAUCCAAGGGUCCUGGAUGAGGGGGUGCUGUGGUUGUAUUCCAUCGCUCCAUUUUAAAUCCUGUUUUCAGAUACAAAUAACAUAAUUAAUGAUAUGCUAUAACAUAAUGUAUUGAAAAUGCAUCACUUAGAAUAAUAUAUAAAAAUUUUAACAUUUAUUACUACCAAAUACCAGUUCACAUCAAAUACAAGGGUUUGUCGUACUUAUUAGUACAACCAUCUACCACAACUUAUACAAAAAGUUAUUUAUGAAAGUAACUGGCAUAUGGACAGUUAGGGGCAGUGUGACCCGGCUGUAAGCAGUUACUGCACCGGCGUGGUGCAUCAGGACAUCUUAUAUCCAUAUGAUUUCGGAUCCUAGCAGUUCUCAAUGGUCCGGGCAUCCUUUGUUUCAACCGAUCUCCAAUGAUAUUCAGUUUUAAGUCCGCUACGCACCAAUAUUUUGGAUCCCGUAACGGUUGAAAAGAACCGCUGAAUGUAGCCUGAUACGCAGGAAAUGUAUGUUCCUGAGCGACAAGCGUUAUUGGACUAAUACCACACCUAAAACACGCUGCAAUAGCAUGUGAACAUGGGAAGCGCAAUUCUCUCCAUUUUUCACAUGUACACGUGCGACUUCCAAUGUCAACAGUUUGGACAUGACCUCCUUUAUUGCUUUGCCGAUAAGCAGUUGUGAUGCAGUAAAUACCUCUAUGGUGAUCGAACACUUGAACUGCAUGUGCCCUCCCUUUUUUUUCAUUUUUUAUAUAUUUGCCCCACGAUUUAUAUGGGAGGGCGUAUACUUGAUUCCAUGCAACCUUGUAAUUUUUGACAAACAGAUCAACUGUUUGGUUGAAUGUGAAUUGUAUACAUGCAGUAAUUGGCAGCAAUCGAGCGUCCCUCAAUAAAUUAUUGAAACAUUCAGCCAUAUUUGUGGAUAUGUGCCCCCAACGAUAUCUCCCAUCUUUGCACAGAGCCCAUUGUUCGGGUCGAACAGAUCCACCCGUUAGCCAUGCAUACGCCUCCGGAUUUAUGGAAAAAAUCACAUUCAUGAAAUCCUCAUACUUGCGCGACUGAUUUGCCACAUCAGCAGCGUACAUCAAGUUUUUAAGUCUACCAGACGCAGUAAAAUAUCGUCAUAAUGGGUUUAAUACGAAAAUAAUGACCGGUGAAACGUGAAAACAUGUUUAAUAUGUAAAAGUUUGGAGACAAUUUACCUCUCGCACUUGAAUUUCUGUUUGAAAUUGCUCCGAAUAUAAGUCAAACAGAAUCGGUGCACCCCUAAUGGCUCCUGCCACUCUUCCAGUGUACGCGUUGCGUUAAUGAUGCCGUGAUGAUGAUCAGAAAUAAUGCAUAUAUUCUGCACAUCACCACACACAUGAAUGCGUAACAAUCUCAUGAACCAAGGUCAACUCCGAUUAUUCUCCUCAUCUACUAGGGCGUAUGCCAAGGGAAACAUUGAGUUGUUAGCAUCAAAAUCUAUGGCGACAAGAAGUUUGCCCCGAUAAGGUCCUUUUAAAAAGGUACCAUCCACGCAUAUGACCGGUUUUAAAUGGCGGAAGGCUUGGAUGGCAGGAGCAACUGCCCAAAAUAUAUAAUAAAAAAUUAUUCCUAAUGGGUUACUUAAUGGAUGAUGAUCCCACACAACAACCGUGCCUGGAUUCGACAGUUGUAACUCCUCAAUAUAAGUCGGCAGUUGCGAUAUGGAUGUCGGCCAAUCCCCAUACAAUAUAUCAAUGGCACGACGUCUAGCGUACCAUGCCUUCUUAUAUGAAAGAUCGCAAUGAAAUUCCUGUUUCACCGAUGCCUGAAUUUUCUUGAUCUUGUAGACCGGACCAUUCAUAAUAUGGGGAAUAAUGUAUUUGACAAUUAUAUCACUGCUCAAUCCACGGUGGUCGUUACUAUAACAAACACGGACGCAAGUAUGCGCGUCAGCAAGUGUGACAAUCAUCCACAUGUUGUGCGAGCUACGUAAGGUUGCACGAAACUGUCAAUUACAAUGGGGUACUUUGUUACGAGCCCGACAACGGACAUACCAAGUCGUUGGCAUGCUCUCACGAACUCUAAACUCCCUGUUCUCCUUGAUAGACCACAACUUCACAGCACGUUGGACAUGCUCCUUUGUUUCGAACAGUUGGCCCAAUUCUAAAUCUUUGGUGUGUUCGUUCCACAGCCUUAACUUCUCUACUCGCCCAGCAUCAAGGGGAUCAAAAUUUAAUGCAGCGUCAACACCAGCUUCAUAACGCAGUUGUGAUCCCUCACUAUUUAUCCAAGGAGCACUACGAUCCAUGUCAUCAUGGGCCAUAGUCGGGAGAUCUAGAUGCCCUGCUUGACCAAAGGUAUCAUGUUCAUGGCUCUCAUCAUCAGAACCACUAAGAUUGGGCUCCAGUUCGGAGUCCAUGUCAACAUCUACAAACUGAACGUCAGUAGAUGGCAGUGCAUCAAACAUCGGUGCCGAUUCAAUAUCCGCACCUCCAGGACGCAAGUUCGGGGUGUGCAUUAUCGGUCGGGCACUUGUAGUUGAAGGAUCAUUAUUCGUCCGCCGACCAGUACCCCUUCUUCGCCCUCUAUGCCUUUGUUGGACAGCUUCUACAUCUAAUUGGGUCAUUUGAUUAUCAAAAAGGCCUCCUGACUGGAAUAAAGAUAUAUGUUCCGAACUACUACCGCCUUGCUUAGGAUUAGCACUUAUAAUUUUUAAACCGUCGGAAUCAUGUUCUUCUAAACCCAAUAGCUCCUCGACCUCCACAUAUAUUUCGGUUGCAAGUCUACUACCAGAUUGUAAGUAGUACAGACUAGCAACUCCAUUGUCAUCUACCAAAGGCAUUGCACCAAACUUGCCAUUUUUUAGACAACUCCGAUAUAUCAAACUAACCUUAUGGCUGUUCCGAUCUAAACCCAUAGUAGUGUAUAUUCUGUCUACCAAAUCAUCAUAACCCACCACCUCUGUCAGGAACAACACAUUUUUCGGUAUAGGGGGAUCAUAUGAAAUUGAACCCUUUUUGUAUAUAAUUUUUCCUCCCCAAUAUAGUUGUAUCACCAAGCAAUUAUCACUUGACAUGAUAUACCUAUUACACACGAGUAUUGAUAACAUUUUAAAAUCGCAUUAAUAAGCUUAUUUGAAUAAUUAAUUAAUUGAUCGAAUCAAAUAUAUAUAAUUUAUAACAAAUAAAUAUAUGAUUAUAAGUCUAUAAUUAUAACAAAUAAUAACCAAUAAUAUAACAAAUAAUGCAUUAUAAUUAAAUAAUUAAAUCAUUUAUAACAAAUGAACGUAUCAUUUAAUAAAUAACAAAGUAAACCUAAUUAAUCACCUUAAUCACUACAUUUAGUUACAAACAUUUUUUCUUAUGCUAAGUUUAUCAUGCGCCUACAUUUCAUAUUGGAUCAAUUAAAUAACCAUUCUAAUCAAAUAUCUUACUAAAAUUAAAAACCCUGUUUUAAAAUGAUUCUAUGCUAAUUACAUUAAUUUUAUGUAUUUGAUUUAUUAAAUGCGGCAAUUAUUUCAAAUACUUAAAUUAUCCCCACUAAAUAGCUAUCACAAUUAAAACUCAAUACAUGCCUCGACAAAUACAUCUAAAUUCAUUUAAUCGACCCCUUAAAAUUAAUUAAUUACUAAAAAGUGAGAGGUCCUAAUUUAACUAAUUAAACCACAAAACUAAUUAAACUAAUCAGAUACUAAAUAACAUAAGCUAAUUAUCAACUAACUUGCCCAAUAAAGUGAAUUGCAUUAAACUAAUACCCCUAAUUUUGAAAUUAAGCUAACCUAAUUACUUUAUGUUUAUGCAUUUAAUGUAUUAAAUGUAGCAAUUAUUUCAAAUACUUAAAUUAUCACGACUAAUUGUCUAUCAUAAUUAAAACUCAAUACUUGCCUCACCAAAUACAUCUAAAUUCAUUUAAUCGAACCUAUUAAAUUUAAUUCAUUCAACUAAUUAAAAAACAACUAAUUAAACUAAUUAAAUCACAAAACUAAUUAAACUAAUCAUAUACUAAAUAACGUGGACUAAUUAUCAACUAACUUGCAUAAUAACGUGAAUUGCAUUAAACCAAUAAUACUAAUUUCGAUAUUAAGCUAUGCUAAUUACAUCAAUUUUAUGUGCUGCAUUUAUUAUACAUGUCAAUUAUUUCAAUUAAGUCAAUUACCCUAACUAAUUAACAAGUUUUCGUAAUCAUAAGUCAAUAAACCUAGGCUAAGUUACAUUUACAUUCAUUUAAUCAAUCACUUUAAGUACAUUUAUUAAACAAAUUUAAACAACUAAUUAAUCUAUUUAAACUAAUUCAAUCACUAAACUAAUUCAACUAAGCGUGUACCGUGCUAUUAAACUAAUAUUAGCUAACACACGUAAAAAACAAAUUACAUUAUCAAAGGCAUUACAAUGGCUUCAACAAUAAAUUAAAUAUUUAAUUAAUAACAUACUAUAACAAUAACAUAAAAUAUUUAUCAACAAUUCAUUAACAUAAAGUGAUAAAUUAUAACAAUUUCUAUAUAAUAUAGAUCACUAACCUCUUUCGAAUCUAAAAAAUUGAUUGCCUUGUCAGCACCGUGAGUAAUGAGCCCGGCGACCUUAACAGAAGCACCGCAAUUAAUCAGCACGGCGAUUAACAAAAAUGCCGCCUAAUGCCAAUUCUGCAUGAGAAUAAGGUAAUAAUUAGAAACACCAAGAAGGACCACAAGGCAAUAAUCAUUUGUUUAAUGAGGAGGAAUAAGCCAACAGGCACUCACGAUUAGGACCACAAGACAGUUCUUCGCCCAACUCUGCCGAAAUGUAAACUGAGGUGCUCGUGUGAAAUUGUGAGGACCACAAGAAAUGUAAACUGAGGUGCUCGUGUGAAAUUGUGAGACCACAAGACAGUUCUUCGCCUGUGAGAAAAUGAGAAAUGUAAACUCUGAGUGAGAGAAAGUGAGAGGUGCGGAGUAACGAUGAGGAAGUUCCUCAGUGCUUAUAUAGAGCAUCAAUCAAAAUCUAGCCGUCCGUUUGCACGGCUAGAUUGCAAAGUUGCUUAAAAAAAAUAAAACAAACAACUGUGAAUUCACGGGAUGCUAAACUCUCGUGGAACAUAGCUUUUUUUCGUCGAGCUCUCUGCUAGGUACCAGCGCUUUUUUUUGUUCAGCUUUACAUGUCUCAGGGGAUGCUCAACAUUAGCUGCCAGCCAUUUUUUUUUUGUCCAUAAGCCCUGCCGACUGCUUUGUACUUUUUUUUUUAAAUUUUACUCAGCCCGGCAGCCAGCUUUGUGUAGAGGCUGUCGGCUACCGGGCCUGGUCAGCCCGGUAGCUAACAGCUUUAUUUAAAAAAAAAAAAAAUUGCUGCCGGGCUGUGUCAGAGUCAGAAUUUUUCAGUCGCCUUUUGGGUGCGGCGCCGGGCUGACACAACCCGGCACCCAUAGAUUCGUACCAAAACCCUGUCAGAGCCAUACAUGUGCGAUUAAUCUUUUUUUGGUCAAUAAUCUGAGUAAUUAGCCGCUUAUGACGCUCAAUUACUCAUCAAUCGCCCAAUUGCAUUUGGUCCGCCUAAUAAUUGUAGGUUCACUUGCCUAAAAGUGACUAAAAUGGCAUAUCUUCAAGGAGCUAAUAAAUUUAUUUGGAUAGGAGUUUAUUUGGAUGAUUUAUUUGAGAUAAUUAUUGUAAUAUUUUUUAUGAUGUGAUGUAUGUGAAAUAAAAAGGUAAUUGAGAAGAUAAAAAGGUGGUUGAGAUUUGUGAAGCAAAUUAUUUUUUUUCAAAUCAUCUCAAUCCAAAUAUCUUCAAUGAGUAUCUGUGCCCACUUGGUAACAAUAAAUUUAUGAGAGAUCGAUGGCAACUUAAAAGAGCAAGGCCUUUAAUAAACUUUUUCUAAUGUUUCUAAUAAUUUCAGCCACCUCCUCUAAAGUUUCAAUAAUUACAAAAAUCUCCCUUACAAAGUAUGACUAGGUAACCUUUGAUGAUACAAGUAGAAAAAAGUCUAAUCAAUACCCCGUAGGCUCAAUCUCAUUUCUUAAAAAAUUGAUGGGAUUUGAUGAUUACAUUAGUGGGAAUAUAAUUCAAUGCGGAUGAUGAAUUUGAUAUUUAGCAAAAAGAUAAUAAGCUGGUUACAUUUAACAAGAUGAGCAUGUGAUUGGGACUUGAAAGUUGCUCGUUGUAAAUGAAGAUCACUAGUGAGGGGUUUGUGUGUAUAUGUAUAUAUAUAUAUAGCAAACUAAAAAGCAAAAGGUAGUUUAGGAGAAUCUUUAUAUUAUGCUUUUAGUUUUUUGUAAAAGCUGUUUAUAGAGAGAUCAAUAUUUUAUGAGGAGAUCAAGAUUUUAUACCAAGGGAGAUUAGUGUAGAUUUUCAAACUUCAGGGGAGAAGUGGUUGAAACUAUUUGAAAACCUAAGGGGAGAUUUUUGGAAUUGUCCCAAUUUAAAAUCAUUCCAUAAAAUUAAGGGACAAUUUCAAGAACCUCUUAUUAGUUUUCUAACAAUGUCACUUAGUACCCCUAAAGUUUAUAAAAUAUCACUUGCUUCCCAUAUUUUCAAAUUUUUCUAACACUUUGAACCCAAUUCAAAUUAUAUGAUUAAAAUACUGUGUUUAGGAAAGAGAAAAUUAUUUCAAUCCAAGGUUGCUCUUUUUUUGUGGUUCCUUAGUUAUAAUGAUAAAUCAAUUUAAAAUCUCUUGACAUUUGAAAACUUGAUGAAUGUGUUCUUCAACGAAAAACUAUAAGUUUGAGAUUGAGAGAUCCUUUAACAAAUCUUAAUUAUAAUUGGAGUCAAAAUCAAAUAUUGAAAAAUUAUAAAGAAUUAAUAAAGCAUGUAAAAACUAUUUGUAAUAUUGUAAAGAUGAACAAAAUAACUUUUUUCACCUUUGAAGCAUCUCCAAUAAGUUUUAAAUGUAAUUUUAAACAUUUUCUUCUUUCUAAUUUUCAAGUCAUCGAUCUAGGCAAAUAAAAAUUUAAGAUUUUAAAUAGUUUAUAAAUUCUCUCAAAAUAUUUUACAUAAAAAGAAAGGUUUGCCUCAUUUGAUAAUCUAAGGAAACACAAUAAGCAUAUGGAUAAAUGAAAAUGGGCACAAUAUUGAACUUUUAAAAUCAUAGUUAACUCCCCAAAUUGCAACACUUUUGCAGAAGAAAUCUAUGCUUUUGCAAAACAAAAAUAGUAACAAUAAUAUCAUAUUUAUUUCUUUUUAUAUGACUUUAAAGUAUCAAAUAGACAAACAUUAAUGGAUAAAAAAUCUUUUUGUAAUUUGAAAACAUGUUAAAUAAAAUUUUAUCAUUUGCUUAUAAUUUAUAAAAGCAUAUUGUUCAUGGUUGCGGCAACUAUAUUUUGCCCCUUUAAAAAUAGCAUAUCUUCAUGCUUUUUUGUCUUUAUUUUUAACAUUUGAUUUUUCAUGCUUGCAAUUUUUUAAAAAAAGCAAGGCAAUAAAAAGGCAUUGUUGGAAAGAAAUCAUUUUCUCUUUCCUAAAGUGAGUAUUUUAAUGAUAUACUUUGAAUUGGAUUGUAAAUAUUACAAAACUUUUAAAAUAGGGAAGGCAAGUGAUAUUUUUAAAGCUUCAAGGGUGUUAAGUGAAACUAUUUUUUUUAAAAAAAAAAAAAAAGCAGAAAGUAUUUUAGGAUAUUCCUUUUUGUGUGCUUUUAGUCUUCUGUAAAAGCUCUUUAUGAGGAGAUCAACAUUUUAUGAAGUCUAUAUAGUCUUUGCAUAAUACUAAGGGAGAUUAGUGUGGAUUUUCAAACUUCAAGGGAAGUGGUUGAAGUUGCUUGAAAACCUGUGGGGUGAUUGCUGAAAUUAUUCCAUCAUCCAAAGGGGCCCUAUAAUUUACAAAAAAUUUCUACAAUUUUGACAAUGAGUGACAUAAUGUUUUAUAUAAACAUCCAACAAGCCCAUCAUCCAAGCAGGCCUUAUAAUUUAGGACAAAUAAAUCAUGUAUUUCCUAAGAUUAAGGUCUCAGGAAUUAGAGAUCUUGAAUUUUAAUUCUUCUGCCCCUCUCCGCUUCUUAAAUCUCAUCCUUCCCUGUUAGAAAAAAUUAAAAAAUAAAUCAUGAUUUUUAUUUUGCUUCUAUUUGUUUAAAAGACAAAUAAGCCUAUUACAAGAAUUGGUAACUAGUGUGAACAAACCGGCGAAGAUGACUCUGGUUUUGUCGGAGGCCGGGUCUUCAUUUUUAUGUGGUCCAAUUGCAGAGACCAAUUCGUGUCUGACAUGGAUAAAUAGAGGUAGAAAAUUGGAUUAAAAGGCCGUUGUAUGUUUUUCCUCCAAAAAUUUUGUACGUUUUCGCACGCACAUAUUUUUCGAUUAUUUUUUAUUAUAUAUAUUAAAUUGUUAUAUUAAUUUUUUUAAAAAACACUUUAGAAAUAGCAUUUCAAACAAACUCUUUUUUUUCGAUUUAGAAAACCAAAAUAAAAAUGAUUUUCUUAUUCUUGACCUUGGAACUCUUUUGCGGCACUGAGCCUACAAUCUUUUGCACUCAAAAUAGAAAAGUCAGGAGAUGAAAAGGGUCUAUCUUGGAACGUUCCUUUUUUUUGCUUUUUUUUAUUAAAACAGAAUUUCAUUACAUGAAUAUACACUAAUAGCAAAAAACAUGUGAUAGAUACUUUUUUUCUUUUGUCUACAAGAUAGUUUCUAUUUUAUACCUACUUCUACUCUAUACUAGGGGAGAGGGUGGGCUCAAAUGAAUCAAAGAAGAAUUCGAAAGGGACUAAAGCACAACCGGAUCAGACGGGUACCUCUGUAAUCGCUGGUGAAACUUUCAGAAAAUCUUGGAGAUGAAUGUAUAUCAAGGGAUUUGAUCCCUUGACCUGUAAAGCUCUCCUUGAUGACCUACUGCUCAAUUAUAACAGAUACAACUGAAGGAAACUUGCUAUGGAAGAAACCUGUAAUUGUCUUCACCUCAUUAAAUAUAAUCGGACAUAUGAAGCCACUGGGAUAUGCGGCACAAACGGUCAUCAGAAGAACCAUUCAGGAGUAGUCUUCUUAUAUCGCCAAACAAGAGGUCCAGCAACGGCCACAUCGUCUAGCAACGGCCACAUCGCCAAGGAAUAACCAAAGCCAAAACAAACUCGUUUCAAUUGGUUAGGCUAAUAAACAAAAAUAAAAGGGAUUGUUUACUCUAAUAGACUCCGCUAGAGCCAAAAGGGUUUUUCAAAAUUUCAAUUUUUGAAAUGAAUUUUUGAUUUGGUUUGUGACUUUGAAAUGAAAUGCGAGAAAAUUCACCUAUCAUAAUAUUGAACAAAACACCAUUCUCUAUCUAGCUAGGAAAGGAAAAAAUCAAUUGAGACAUAAACUUGUAUACAUUAAGUUUUGGGGGGGGGGGGAGGGGUGGGGAGAGGGGGAAUCUAUUGGAAGAAGAUGUGUGAGGAAAUUUGAACAGAAGAAGAAAGUGCACUUUGUCUCUCAUAUGUUAGAGGUGGAUUUCAGCUAUAGAAUCAUUAAGAAGAAAGCUACCAUAAUUUUGUACCACACAAUAUUUUGACCACCAAGCAUAUUGAGGGUGAUAUGAAAUAGGAAAGAUACCAAAUAUAGCUAUAUCUAUCUCCAAAAAAUUCGGUAAAGUGAACAGCGGUUUGAAGCAAAUCACAUACAGCAUGGUGGUCAAGCACAAUGUCGGAGUCCAAUGAAGAUAAUGACACUAAACCAUUUAUUGAAUUGUGGUUACUCGUAGGCUCAAAAAUAUACAAAUGUAAUAGACAAAAGAAAUCAUUUGUAAAUUCUGUGCAUAAGGACCAUAUGAUAUAUGAUGAGCAAUUACGUGAUGGCCAAUCAUUGUGUUUAUGUAUUUGUACAAAAAGUGAUGCAAAAGUUACACAAAUUUGGUAUGAGUGCACAUGUGUAAAUUUCAUUACUUGGUCAUCAGCCCUUAGAGAGUAUGCACUACCAGAUAUGAUUUAUGAGUAAGUCAUAAGUUAUUAAAUAAGUACAUGGCAUGACAUACAUAAAGAACUAAGUGAUGUACUCCAUGACUGUCAAAGUGUGUAAUUUGUUACUCAUCGAUAAAGAACUAAGUGUACAUAUAGUGUGUGGUUGUGCAUAGUGUGUUUCCUACUGUGUACAUCUUGCUAGGUGAAAAUUACGGUGAGUAAUAUAUUGUAAAAUGGAGGGCAGUGAUAUGCACACCCUUGUACUAGUUGUAGGAGCCUCGAACUCGUGCAAAAUCUUGGAUUGGAUUUACUUUUGCAUGACUUAGUGCUAAUUUACAUGAUUUACCUCAUGAACAUUGUACUUUUAGAAGUGUAGACCUUGUGAAUUAAUCGUUGAUGUUUGUUAAUUUGUUAGUAUGAGUACAAUUAAGUUUUCAUCUUUCUCUUUCUUACAUAGUUUGUAUAGCACAGUAAAUGUAGUUAUGUGAGCUAGAUUCUAUUCUAGAAACUUUGGUAUAGUUGAUAUUUAUAUGUUUCUGUAAGUGUGCACAUUGUUAGUGGGUAUGGCUUAGUGCUAUACGUUUUGUAUGUUAACAUAGUCAUAAAUUUAUUGAAGUUAGCCUAUUGCUUGAAUUUGUAUUUGGUUAUUGGUUCUUAAUUACAGUCAUGUAUAUGACAUAUAAAGUGAUAAUGAAUUUACUACACUAUUGUUCGUUGGCUACAUGGAGUUCAUAUAGUUGUAUAAUUGGCGUUUGAUUAGCUAUGCCCUAUAUGUAAUUGAUAACCCUGUAAAACCUUUUCGCACAACUUGUAUACGAAACAAGUCACAUUAUGAUAACUAAUGUACAUAUGAUGAUUUUCAGGAAUUGGAUUUGUGGAAAGAAUCAAGUGGACAAAAGAUGAAACUCCACAAUUAGGAAUGGAAUUUGACACAGAAGAUAAUGUCUAUAAAUUUUACAACAAAUAUAGUUUUGUCAAGGGUGCAACAUAGCUUUCUUUACAAUCAUCAAAGGUACUUGUUAUGACUGAUAAGUUGUUGUAAAUGAACCUUUUUCACUCACAAUAUUUUUGCUGCGUUUUGUGAAAAGUUCAGAACGAAAAGCUAGCUAUACAGUCUCACUAUUAAUCCAAAUAACCUGUAAUUGUAACUUGUUGAAAAAGAUUUGAGUACCAUUCCUAUGCUUAUAUAGCACCCUCCUUUGUUGUGUUUAAUUGACAGUGAUUCGUGUAUUGUGUAGGCUAGUUUAUUACUGUCACUACUACCAGAAGACAUAGGAAUCACAUCCAACCAGCCAUAAGAACAAUGUUAGCAUUGUAACAUCGGCCAAUAAAUUAUCUUGUACACACUGCAGUUUACUUCAAUAAGUGGCAUGUAUAUAAAUACUUAGUGAAUGUAUAAUUUGGUUGAAAUAAAGUACACCAUGUAACCGACUAAGUACGAUGCAUAGAAAUUGUUGAACAUGCAGUUAUUUGUCCACAUGCAUAUUGCAAUUAGUCAUCGCAGCCACAUGCAUAGUGCAAUGAUAUGCAUAUAUUUGUAAUGGUUAUUGGUGUUUUGACCCAUUUGUGCAUCUCCUUGCAGGCUGCAGUGGGUGUGUAAUUUUAUUUGUAUAGCUAAUACUAAUUUGCCUAUAAGCACAUUACACCAGGUGAUCUAUGAGGUAUAAUCAGCUUACAAAAAUGUACAACAUCUUAGAUGUUAGUUACUUGACUGUGUAUAUCUAUAAAAGGUAGUACAAUGGUGCGCAUAACUUUGGAAUGGUUAUUGGCCCUUUAAUCAACUAUGCAUUUCUCUAUAAUGGAUGUGUAAUUUUACUUGUAUAAGUAGUACUAAUUUGUUUGUGAGCACCUUACAUAGGAUGAUCUAUAAGGUACAAUCAAUUUACAAAAAUGUACAUCAUGUUAGGUGUUAGUUACUUUACUAUGUAUAUUUGUAAAAAGGAGAUUAGAUAUAGAGCAACAAAAAAUAGUUACGUGAGUUGGAAUGUAUUCUAAAAACUUUGGUAUAGUUGAUAUUAACAUUUUUCUGUGGAGUGUAUACGUUGUUCGUAGGUAUGGAGUAGUGCUAUAUGUUAUGUAUGCUUACAUGGUCAUAAAUUUACAAAAGUUAGUCUAUUGUUUGAAUUUGUAAUUGGUUGUUAGUCCUUGCACACUGUCAUGUGAUGCAAGAAUGAAUUUACUAUAUAGUUGUUCAUUGGUUUCAUAGAGUUCAUACAGGUAUACAAAUUGGGGUUUGAUUACUAUGUCCUGUAUGUAAUUGUUAAUGCAUUAUAUCUUCUUCACCUAUAUUUUGCAGCAUGUCAAGAGCAAAGACAGGUUCCUUUGACGAAUCAAUGGAUAUCAAUCAACACUGGUGCAGCAAAGAAAUUAGAUUGGAUAAUUAGAUAGUUUCAUUGUGCCAGACUCAUAAUACUUAUUCGAAUGUACCUAGUUCUUAAUGCAUUACCAUAUGUUCAAUCUAUUUUAAAAUGUACUAGAGGAAAAAAGUUAAAUUGAUAAUUUUAGAUUUUGUUUAUUAGUAUUAUAAAUCUAGUUAGUAUUUAAGUACUGUUUAAGUACUAUUUGUUGUUAAAUAAAGAUUUUUGUUUCACAAAUUGGUGGAAACUAGUUACAUUUGGUUAUUUAUAAGUUACAUACAUACUGAUUGAACAAAAAUUUAACUAGUCAUCUAUCACUAUUAUGGAAGUAAUGGUUUUAGGUAAAAUUUUAGUUGUCAAUAUAUUAUAAUCUGAAAAAGUAGUAAUUACCCAUCAGCAAAUUUGUAACACCCAACCAUAAUGUCACUCGUUUCCAUUUUUAUCAAACCUCAAGCUAAAAACCUUAGAAACAUGGUUGGGAUGUCAAUUUUGGCAUACUUCUAUGAUUUAAUUGCUUUUUGAACAAAUAUCCUUGGGUUUAUUAGGUAUGAUGCAUAUAAAAAUAACAUAUACAUAAAAAGAAAUGAUGUGUGAUUUAAAACGAAGAAGGGAUUCCUCUAAAAAAAUGAAGAAUGAAGGAGCUUAUUAAAUUUAUAAAUAUAACAAAAUGCCUCUUUAUUAGAUAAUUUUAUUAUUUACAAAUAUUUCUAAAAAUUGAACAAAAAAAUUAAUCAAAUGUAUACUCUAGUUAUAACAAUAUGUACAACAAUUAUAAUAGAUAUACAUAAUGCUUCAAAAAAAUCUACAAAUUGAACAAAAAUCUACAAUGAUUACAACGAUAUCUACAAGGAUUAUUACCUAUCACUACACAAUAUUUUCUAUAAAUCGAAAUUGAAAAUUUACAAAUGUUGUGAUAACAAAAAUCUAUAAAAGGAAGGUAAAAGAGUUAUACAAUACUGUUAGCUGAGUUUCACUUGCUCCAUUUCUUCUUCUCAAGUUGGUUUCUUCUUUUCCUUUUUAAUUAUAAAUGAUGGGAUUGGUUCUGCAAGUUCAGUGGUUCCCCUUAUUUAUAUUUCUUCCUUUUCACUUGGAUUCUUCAUUGUCCUUUUCCGUACCAUCUCGCCACUGCUCAUGCAAAUUAUAAAGGCUGUUUACUUUGUUCAACACAACCGUUCUAAAUGAAGUAACAUUUUUUAAACAAAGCGUAACUCUACAUGAAUUACUUGUAAAACUUAACAACAGAUGCACAAUUAUUACAUAUGAGACCCAUAUAAAUAGUAACAAAAUAUCAUACUUCUGUUGUAAGGAUGUACAAAAAGUUUACAUAGAGCUACAAAAUAUUUAAAAAAUAUUACAUUGUUUAGGGAUGGUUGAUAGAAAUCAACUGUCCCAGCCCACUUCUUUUUUACCUGGCAUUCAUAUGACGUUAUAAAAUCACAACUAAAUAUGAUAUACUAGAUUCAAAUCUGAGUAAGGCAUACUGAACAUUGAGUACAUCUAGCCUAAUACAUACAUAUUACAACCUACACUUAUUCAAUCAAAUUUAAUCCCAUAGACUAGGAAUGUACAAAUAGGUACCAAGUUACAAACAUGCAAUAAUAAUUGUCAAAUUAAUAGUGUGUGCACUUCACCUCACUUCUCUUCCUUUUAUUUCUUUUCCUUUCAUUAUAAAUCCCUUAGAUCUUGCUUUAACAUCAUCCUAUUACUUCAUUGCUGAAUUACAGCCACAUAAAAGUAUUUGUCGAUUGUCACUAAUUGUUCACUAAUAAUAAUACUUUUCCAACAUGAUGUGCAGGCAUAUUAACUAAGACAUCUUGUAACUAUUUUCUACCAGUAAGUAAGGCAUAUUGAACAAUAUGUACAUUUAACCUAACACAUAAAAAUUAGAAUUUACAUUAAUGCCAAUCAACUUUGAAGUAAUCCACUUCAAUUGCUAUACUGCUAUUGUACAAACAAGGACCACCAUUAAUAUUUAAUGCGUGCAUUUCCUUUUAUUUUUUUCCUUUAUUUUCAAACCUUCACACCUUUCUUUAACAUGGGCAUUAUGUUAAUUGAUUACUAAUUUACAACUAUAUAAAAGUAUUUCUCCACAGUCACUGUUUAUUCAUAAAAAAUAAUAGUUAUCUAAUAUGAUGUACAGGCACACUACUAAGACAUCUUAUAAUUAUAUUUUUGCACUAUAUAAGGCAUAAAGAACAAUAUGUACAUUCAACCUAAUUUAUAUAAAUUAUUUCAAAUACUCAUAUCAAUUAAGUUUGAAGUAAUUCACUUCAAUUACUAGACAGCUAUUAUAUGAAUAAGUACUAAUCUUCAAACAUGAGAUACCACUCAUUAAUGAUUAUUAAUGUGUGCACUUCUCUCUUUUUGUUGACCUCUAUUCCUUCUAUUUUCCCUCCAUUGUGACUUAUUUAAGCAGAUUUAACAUUUUAGUGUAAGUGGUUAUUAAUUUACAACUGCAUGAGAGUGUUUCUCCACUACCACCAGUUAAUUACAAAUAUUAUUUUUCUAUCCAACAUUAAUGUAAAGGCACAUUCACUGGAACAUCUUAUAAUUCAUCCUAAUCAUUCACUUUGCUUAUUAUUUUAUUUUGUUGUAAUCGCCCACAAACACCCAGUAAUUCUAUCUACGCCAUUAAAUGUCCAUACUAACUGACACAAAUGAAAAAUAUAACUUGAAAAUUUUCGUUUCUUUUAUCUGCCUGAAACCUUGACUAUAUUGUUGAUCUGCUGUUGUUGUUAUAGACAAACACUCCUGCAUAUCCCCUAGUAAUAGCUCUUUCUACUAAUUGGUUUGAAAGUUCUUUUUUCUAUUUGCAAACAUUUGGCAUGCAAAAUUUUUCUUUGCCCUCCUUCCUUGUGUAGUCCAUCAACUAAUUUAACUUCUACCAUUCAAAGGGUUUCCAUAGAGACUACAAGCAAAAUAGAUGGAUACUAUUCACCAAAAAAUGAAAAUUAAAUUAUUGGCUUGCAACAUUGUUACCUGAAGAGUUUAUGUGGAUACAAUUGGGUGUUUCUCUGUCUUAUAUCCCACUACCUUCUAUUAUCAUAUCUCCAACACAUUUUCCUUCAGCAAGUAGUUUUUCCUUCUAGUUAGUGUAAUCAUUGAUGGGUGAUAAUACAUUUUCCUGGCUCUUCUUUGGCACUCCUCGUCUACAACUUUUUUGUUCUUUAAUGUUAUUUUGCCCUGAUUCUGGAGUUAUUGAGUUAUAUUAACAAUUUUUGGAUGGAAAGUAAGAGAUUAAUUUUUGGAGGGAGAAUUUUAGACUUUGAGUUUUAAUGGACAAUCAUGCCCAAUCAACUUGAACGAGAUAUUUUUGGAACGGUGUUUUAACGGUAGCGGAAUCUAUUAGGCUAACGCAAUUUUUUUAAAUUUUUUUUCAUGCUCACUGAGUAAACGAGAGCAUUUCAAUGUGGAUGCAUGAUAGGCAACAGCUUGCGAAGGAACUAUUCAGGACGGUCCUUCUUAAUUACCGUCUCUGCCCCAUAUCCCAAGCGACUGCAUGUUCCCAGAAUACCACAUUGCCACUUUCGACCGCAAGCCCAUUGUUUCAUAAUGUUCACUGCACAUACACUGUAUUUGAUAUACUCUUUUGGAAAUUGUGCAUUGCCAAUUUGCUUCUGACGGCUAGCCAGCACUUUUUAUUUCUUGAUUCUAUUCCUUUUUCUUUUUGCCGCUGCUGCGAAGUUCACGGCUUACGACACGCUCAAAUUGCAUUCGGUCCACCUAAGAGCGCAUGUUCUCUGCCUAGGAUCGACUAAAAAGGCACAGCCUACAAAGUAUCUUUGCCCGCUUGGUGACAAUAAUAUUUAUAAAUACAAGAAAUUUCUAAGAGAGCGAUGGAGCUUGAAAGGGUUAACUUCAUGAACUUUUUCUAAGGUUUUUGAAAUUUUCAAUCACCUUCAAUCAAGUUUCAAUAAUUACAUUCCUCACUGACAAAGUAUAACUAGAUAGCAAUCAAUAAUGUAAGUGCAAAAAAAAAAAUACAGCGAAUACUCCCAUAUAUUGGCUCCAUCUCGUUUCUUGAAACUAUAUAGUUAAUAAUUUAUAGAAAGAAAAGUACCCCUCUUUAAGGAAAAAUUGAUGAGAUUUGAUGGUUGUAUUAUUGGGAAUAUAAUUCAAUUGUGGAGGAUGAAUUUGAGGUUUAAUAAAAAGAUAAUAGUCUGGUUAAAAUUAAUAAGAUGAGCAUAUAAUUGGGACUUGAAAGUUGCUUGUUAUAAAUAAAGAUCUGUAGUGAGGUGAGAUUAAGGGUGUUUAUAUAUAUAUAUAUAUAUAUAGAUUAGAAAACAAAAAGCAGUUUAGGAGAUUCUUUUUUUUUUUUUUGAGCUUUUAGUUUUCUGUAAAAGCUCUUUAUGAGUAGAUCAAGAUUUUACGAGGGCUAUAUAGUCUUUGCAUAAUACUGAGGGAGAUUAGUCUAAAUCUUCAAACUUAAGGGGAUGUGGCUGUAACUAUUUGAAAACCUCAGAGGAGGUUUUAGAAAUUAUCCCAAUUUAAUAACAUUAUAUAAAAUUAAUACGUGGGGAAGAGAUUAGUUAACUCCGAUUUUGUCCACCUGCAUUUACGUGGGGAAAUGAUUCAUGUGAUGAGAGCACCGCGACAGCUUUCCUGUCUAUGAUAUAGACAAAAAAUUAAAAAACACUCUUGAAUGAUAUUAAAUUGCGAAACAAAUUUUAGAAUUUUCUACUUUUUUUUGAUAAAACAUCAUAAUAUCAUUAAAAUAUGUACUAAUAGCAAAAAUUACAUCGUCAAACAUAGUCAGAUAUCAAAGAAUAUAUCCUAAGAAAGAAUACUAUAAAUCUGAAAAACAAUAAAAAUUAUAUUAUAAAGGUCCAAAUUUAAAAAAAAUGAGAUAAAUAAUUGUAGUUCCAUGGAUAUUUAUGCAUGCCUCCAAUUAUUAGAUCUGCUGAUUAACUGCUUCAAGUCCCAAUAUUAGGAUAAGAUCUAUCGAAUAUAUCUAAGAAAUUUUAGAUUUGAGAAUCAAAAUCUGAAAAAACUCAGAUCUAAUAAAAGAAAAAUAAAAAAAAUUAUCAAAAACUCUCACUAGAAAUCUCUAGAAGAGAGUAAAACUCUCACUAAAAAAUUUAAGAGAAAAGGAAACUCUCACUGGAUAAUCAUAAGGAGAGGAGAAACUCUCACUAAAAAAUCUUAGAGGAGAUUUUAUUCACAUAAAUAAAAAGAAACUAUAGAGAAGGCUCCUUCCAUGGAGAAAGAUUACGAAGAUUUGAUUUCUCUCCCAUGGGAGAAUUAAAGGAAGUUUUAGUUGAAGAGUUUUUUCUACAGAGAAUAAUUUUCUCUGAUAAAUGGGGGUUUUUUUUUCAUCACUUAUUUUUUCGUCAAUUAUAAAUAUGGGGUCUAGGUAUCUCAUUGUUUAGCCAACUUUUCUGAGAUUGUGUGUGUGUGUGUGUGUGUGAAAUUCACUUUCCUUGACACACAUGCAUACUAUCAGCAUGGCCACCGGAAAUGGAAAUCACGAGGCACAACAAACAGAGGAAAACUUUGUACAAUUUUAUGAGACGUGGAAGAAGCAGCAGAACCAGCAUCUUCAAGAACUCAUCACUGCAUCAGAACAAGUUUCUUCCCCAACACCGCCAACAGACGGGAUCACGGCUUGUUCCUCCUCAUCACCACCACCACCAACAGACGGGAUCACGGCAACAAAUUUGAGCAACUUGGUGAAACGCGUGGUCGAACACUAUGAAGAGUACUACAAAACCAAGUCAGAAUGGGCAGACAAAAAUAUAUUGCAAAUAUUGUCACCCCCAUGGACGAGUUCUCUUGAGGAUGCAUUCCUUUGGAUUGGUGGAUGGAGACCCACCAUGGCUAUCCAUCUUCUCUACUCAAAAUCAAGUUUACAGUUCGAAUCCAAAUUCAAUGUUUGGAUGCAGGGAAAAUUGACUAAGCAUGAUCUUGGCGAUUUGACACAGAGUCAAAUCAGUCUAAUUGACGAGCUGCAGAAGAAUACAAUCAUUGAGGAGAAGGAAAUAACUGGAAAGAUGGCCAAGCAGCAGGAGAAGGCGGCCGGUGCAGACAUGGUGGAGCUGAGUCAUUUGGUGAGUGAGGCACUGCGUGAAGAAGAAAAGGGAACGAAAGCAAGGGAUCACGAAGCUGAACAGAGCCAGGCUGAGUCAAGUCUGAAUCCCAAGGAGAAAGGGUUUAAGAAGAUCUUAGAAAAGGCUGAUAAUCUUAGGCUGAGAACCCUUAAGAGUAUAAUUGAGACAUUAUCUGCAACACAGGCUGUUCACUUCUUGAUUGCUGCUGCUGAACUUCACCUGAGGCUACACGAGUGGGGAAAAGCCAGGGAUGAAGGGCAACUCUCCGGCGGAGCUGGCCAUCCCAUUUUCCAACAAGAAGCCUGAAGAUUGUAUUUGUUUGUGUCGAUUUCUGAGAGGGAGGGGUUUUUAUUUUCUUGGCAGCUUAUAGUUGUUUAGGGCUUCAAGUUUAUAAAACUACCUUAAUUACCGUUGGUUUAAAUUGUAGUAGGAGACAGGCCAUAUCUUUGGUUAAUAUUCCCAUUCCAGCUUUCUUAGUCUAGUUGGUCACCAAUGGUCACCAUAAACUUUUGGCCAUCUCGAAAUUUGCGGAAAAUCAUAUGAGAAGAACCAAGUGAAAAGAAUACAAACCACUCCCAACCAACCAUACAAGUUUACUCGAGACAGAGGCAUACAAAAAGAAAGCCCUGAGGAGGGUUUUCUUUCACGAGUCAAUACAACAACUUUUGGGGAGAGAGAAGUUUAGCAACUGCAACAGGCUAUGUGAUUAUAUAUUAAAGAAACAGUUCAAUAAAAUUACUAGUACGCAACCAACUUACACUAAUCUCUAUGAUAAACUAAAGUAACAAACCUGCUUCACUACAGGUAUUUAUUUAAAGGCAGCAGCAGAAGGGCAUGAUGACAGAUCCUCUUUUCUAAUGCCAACAGUUUGGCGAAGGCUGCCAAAAAGUAACUCCUUUUGUUCAUUAGGUGCACCACUUCUUUAA